Molecule: long non-coding RNA, 67587 nt
Filed under: Vitis vinifera (wine grape)
Lineage: Eukaryota; Viridiplantae; Streptophyta; Magnoliopsida; Vitales; Vitaceae
Description: long non-coding RNA (VVIN_LNC004585)
Source: RNAcentral
AUGGCAGACAAUGGAAUCGGUUGUUGAGAUUUGAUUCUUGGAAAAGGCAGCCCCACCCUCAUAUUACAAGCCAUGGAGACCUGUUUUCCACUUACUUCUGUUUUUAUAUACAGACAGUACGGUUUCCACUACUUUUCACAACAAUUAUAAUAAUCCAUGCUCCAUGCCAGGAAUCCAAGGCUGAAAAAUAUUUGUUUUUGUUAAAAAUGCCUAAAUACACUCAAAUCAUUCAUCAAUUUUGGUGGUGUCUUCUCAUUUCUCUCUGAUUGGAACCCUGCUGCUGCUGCUCUCUCUCAAAAGUCAUACCUACUACUCUAAUCUCCUUUCAGUCUUCACAUUCAGCCUUACAUCAGGGAUCUGCUGAAUUUUUUUUUUGGCUUCCAAAACACCAUCUUUCCUUGUUCUCUUUUAGUCGCACUGAAUCAACUUACAAGCAAUCCUUGAGCUUUCUCCAUCUCUUCACUCUCUACACCUUUGCCAUUUUAUCAUCCAUUCCUAACUUCACUCAUUUCCAAUUUCACCACUGUUUUUUCCCUUUUCCUACUCACCAUCCCUCUGCUUGGAACAAAUACUCUUCUCCUUCCAUUUCUUGCGUUCUCUUCUUUUAGUUUGUUCUUUAUUGCUGCUUUCAUUUGUUUCUGUCUUUUGCUUUCAUUUGUUUCUGCCUUUUCUUGCUUCCCAUUUGUUUUCCAAAAAAAAAAAAAAAAACCCAAAAAAAAAAAAAAAAUCGAACUGAGACGAAAUGGCAGAGAGCGUUAUUACCAUCCCUACUACCAUUGCUGAAAAAAUUGCAGGCUACUUGGUUGCUCCAAUUGGACGCCGGCUUAGUUAUCUGUUUUGCUACCGCAGCCACAUGGAUGAUCUCAACAAGAAGGUUCAAGAGUUGGGGCGUGUGAGGGGCGACCUUCAGAUUACUGUUGAUGAAGCUAUUAGAAGAGGGGAUGAAAUCAGACCUAUUGUUGAAGACUGGUUGACUCGGGAGGACAAGAAUACAGGGGAGGCAAAGACAUUCAUGGAAGAUGAAAAGAAAAGAACCAAGAGCUGUUUCUAUGGGUGGUGUCCUAAUCUCAAGUCACGUUACCAGCUAGGCAGAGAAGCAGACAAGAAGGCGCAGGUUAUUGUUGAAAUCCAACAACAAUGCAAUUUCCCACAUGGCGUAUCAUAUCGUGUCCCUCCACGGAAUGUAACCUUUAAAAAUUAUGAACCUUUUAAGUCAAGAGCCUCGACUGUGAAUCAAGUUAUGGAUGCAUUAAGAGAUGAUGAGAUCGACAAGAUUGGGGUAUGGGGCAUGGGCGGUGUGGGCAAAACCACGCUGGUCAAACAAGUGGCUCAACUAGCUGAAGAGGAGAAGCUGUUCACCGCGCAAGUCUACAUAGAUGUAUCCUAGACUCGAGAUUCGGAAAAACUUCAAGAAGGUAUUGCUAAAAUUCAACAAAAAAUUGCAGACAUGUUGGGCUUGGAAUUUAAGGGGAAGGAUGAAUCCACGAGAGCAGUUGAACUGAAGCAGAGACUGCAGAAAGAGAAGAUCCUUAUCAUCUUAGAUGACAUUUGGAAGUUAGUUUGUUUGGAGGAAGUUGGAAUUCCUUCUAAAGAUGACCAGAAAGGAUGCAAAAUAGUGUUGGCUUCUAGAAAUGAGGACCUAUUACGCAAAGACAUGGGCGCAAGGGUAUGUUUUCCACUUCAACAUCUACCAAAAGAAGAAGCUUGGCGUUUAUUUAAGAAGACAGCAGGUGAUUCUGUGGAGGGGGAUAAACUGCGACCCAUAGCAAUUGAGGUAGUUAACGAAUGUGAGGGUCUACCAAUUGCAAUUGUAACAAUUGCAAAUGCAUUAAAAGAUGAAAGUGUGGCUGAAUGGGAGAAUGCUUUGGAAGAACUGAGGAGUGCUGCGCCAACAAACAUCAGCGGAGUGGAUGACAGGGUAUACGGAUGUCUGAAGUGGAGCUACAACCAUUUGAAAGGUGAUGAAGUCAAGUCAUUGUUCUUACUUUGUGGUUGGUUGAGCUAUGGCGAUAUUUCAAUGCAUCGAUUGUUACAGUAUGCUAUGGGUUUGGGUUUGUUUGACCACAAGUCAUUGGAGCAAGCAAGAAAGAAACUAGUUACAUUGUUGAGAAUCCUCAAGGCCUCAAGCUUGUUACUUGACGGUGAAGGUCAUAGAGACGAUUUUGAAGAAGAAGCCUCAAGGUUGCUUUUCAUGGAUGCUGAUAACAGGUCUGUCAGGAUGCAUGAUGUUGUUCGUGAUGUUGCCAGAAAUAUUGCAUCCAAGGAUCCUCAUCGAUUUGUAGUCAGAGAAGAUGUUGAAGAAUGGUCAGAGACUGAUGGAUCCAAAUACAUCUCUUUAAAUUGCAAAGAUGUGCAUGAGCUUCCUCACAGGUUGGUAGGUCCGAAACUUCAAUUUUUUCUAUUGCAGAACGGUCCUUCCUUGAAAAUCCCACACAAAUUUUUUGAAGGGGUGAACCUACUCAAAGUUUUAGACUUGUCUGAAAUGCAUUUCACAACACUACCUUCAACGCUUCAUUCCCUUCCAAAUCUUCGAGCAUUACGUCUAGACAGGUGCAAGUUGGGAGACAUAGCUCUAAUUGGAGAGCUAAAGAAACUACAAGUUCUUAGCAUGGUGGGUUCCGAUAUUCAACAAUUGCCUAGUGAAAUGGGGCAGUUGACGAAUCUAAGGUUGUUGGAUUUGAAUGAUUGUAAGCAGCUUGAAGUAAUUCCACGAAAUAUCUUAUCAAGCCUGUCUCGAUUAGAAUGUUUGUGCAUGAAAUGGAGCUUUACUCAAUGGGCAGCUGAAGGAGUUAGUGAUGGAGAAAGCAAUGCUUGUUUAUCGGAGCUGAAUAUUUGUAGGCACGUGGGAAACAAAUUAUAAAACAUCAAAAACAUUAAAGCUCGGACAGGUUGAUAGAAGCUCACUUUUAAGGGAUGGAAUUGACAAGUUGUUGAAGAAAACUGAAGAACUAAAGUUGAGUGAAUUGGAAGAAGUAUGUCGUGGCCCAAUUCCCAUAAGGUCUUUGGAUAACCUUAAAACUUUAGAUGUGGAGGAAUGUCAUGGAUUGAAGUUUCUCUUUUUACUUUCCACAACCAGAGGCCUUUCCCAAUUAGAAGAAAUGACAAUAGAAGAUUGCAAUGCCAUGCAGCAAAUAAUCGCAUGUGAAGGGGAGUUCGAAAUAAAAGAAGUUGAUCAUGUUGGGACCAACUUGCAGCUGCUCCCUAAAUUACGAUUUUUAAAACUUGAGAAUCUACCGGAGCUCAUGAACUUCGAUUACUUCAGCUCUAAUUUGGAAACAACAUCACAAGGAAUGUGUUCCCAAGGCAAUCUUGAUAUCCACAUGCCAUUUUUCAGUUAUCAGGUAUGUUUAAGCUUAAUUAAUAGCUAAUUUCCAUAGUUUUUUAUUUUUUUCAUAUCACUUUUUUUUUAAAAAAUAAAUGAAAAGAAAAAGUAGGUUAGGUCCACAUGAACUUUUUAAUUGCACCUUAUAAGUUUGUUAAAAGGAGAUAACAUAAGGAGGAGAAGAGAAUUUAGUAAAUUAUUUUACUUGAAGAUACACUCAAUAUUUGGAAAAAGUUUAGUUUGAAUAUAAAAAUCUUAAAAUAUUAGUAAUGUUUUAUAACUUUUAUAAAUAAAUUGAAAAGGAUUAAUAAGGAAAGAUAGGGAAAUGAAGAGAAAAAUGAAUCUUCAUUUUGUUUAUUUAUUUAUUUUUGUUUUUUACAAUUAUUUAUUAUAACAUAAUAAGAAAUAUUCUAUCUCUUUUUCUUAAUAAUUAACUUUAUUUUUUAAAAUCUAAUUGAACUAUAUAAUACAUUUUUUUAUAAAGAUAAAAAGCUUUAGUGAUUCUCUUUCAUUAAAAUAUUGGUAAAAAUAAACAAAAAUAGAAAAAAUUUAGAUAAAACAAAUAAAAUGAUAAAUAAUAUAUAAAGAUACAUAUGAUUGAAUUAAUGAUAUGAUUAAAUUAGUGUGGUUUGUCAAUAAUAUAGAUAUGUAUGAUCAAAUUAGUAUGAUUUGUAAAUGAUAUUGCAUCAGUAGUGAUAAGUAUGACUUUCAAGAAGAAUGCUAAAAUUAAAGAAUUAGAUAUGAAGGAAGAUGUGGGAAAGGUUAGGCCUUUGACCAACCCUCCUAUUUGUUUUUAUUUUUAUUUUUAUUUUUUUAACUUAUUGAAAGAGCAUCUUAUUUUGAUAAGUUUGUAAAUGCUACUUCUUCUUCUUCUUCUUGUUUUUAUUUUUAUUUUUAUUUUUUUAAUUUAUUGAAAGAGCAUCUUAUUUUGAUAAGUUUGUAAAUGCUUCUUCUUCUUCUUCUUCUUCUUCUUCUUCUUCUUUAAAAAAGUGUUUCAACCACAACACCAAAUGCACUCAUCAUCCCCCACUAUUUUUCACUAUUUUGUCACACCAACAUAGCAUUUCUAUGUUCUUUUAACAAAAAAUAUAGUAAAAAAAUCAUCAUUAAAUAUCUAAUAUUAUGUGAGAACUUGCUAGAACCAAUAAAUUUUCUAUUGAUAAUUUGUCAAAUUUUUUUGGGACAAUUUCUCCUUGAUUGUUUUAAAAUUUUAAAAUAUGACAAAGUGAAGAUGUGAAUAUUUGGAAGUUGAAGAAUAUUUAAGAAAGGUAAUAUGUUUGUGUUAAUCAUAACUUUCUAAUUGAUGAUGUCAUGUAUUAUAUUACAGGUUUCAUUCCCUAAUUUGGAGAAGUUGGAAUUCAUUAAUCUUCCCAAAUUGAAGGAGAUAUGGCAUCACCAACCUUCACUUGAGUCAUUCUACAAUUUGGAGAUCCUUGAAGUGUUACAUUGUUCAUGUCUGCUUAAUCUUAUCCCAUCUUAUUUAAUACAAAGGUUCAACAAUUUGAAAAAGAUAAACGUCCAUAACUGCAAAGUCCUAGAAUAUACGUUUGAUCUUCAAGGACUUGAUGAAAAUGUUGAAAUCCUCCCAAAGUUAGAAACCUUGAAGUUACGAAGACUACCUAGGUUAAGGUAUAUUAUAUGCAAUGAGGACAAGAAUGAUGGUAUGAGGUGUCUUUUCUCUUCUCCAACGCUCAUGGAUUUUCAAAACCUCAAAUGUCUAUCCAUCCAAGAUUGUGCAUACGAAAACAAUGAAGAGGGACAUGUUAAUACUCCUAUAGAAGAUAUAGUGCUCUUCGGCGAAAAGGUUAGUUUUCUCCCAUAUUUUUUUAUUUUUAUUUUUCCAUAUACUAUUUUUGGAAAUAUUGACAAACAUAUUCCAUAAAAAUAAUAAUAAUAAUAAUAAUAAUAAUAAUAAUAAUAAUAAUAAUAAUAUGAGAAGAUCAUAUCGAUCUUUAAUAAUAAAUUUAUUAAAUUAUUUAGACAUUUAAUUUUAGAUAAUAAAAAUGGUGAAUAAUAAUUAAAUUAUAUAGGAGUUGAAAAAAGAAAAGAAAAAAUUAAAAUUAAAAUUUUAAAAAUAAUAAAUAUGAAUAGAAAUAAUAUAAAAUAAAAAAAUCAUAAGUGUUAUUUUAAUUUAAAAGUAAAAAAAAAAAAAGGUGCUAAUUGGAAUAAAUAUUAUGAUGAAUUGAAAACGGAAUUAGAGGAAUAUUUUAAUUAAAAAAGUAAAUUUUAAAAAGGAAUUAGUGAAAUUUAUUAAUAAGAAAUAAUGAAAGAGUGUAUGAUAUAAUAUAGAGUAAUAAAUGAUUAGAUAUAAAUAAAAGUAAUUUAGUAUGGGAAUAUAUGUAACAUAGAUUACUAAUAAAUAAAUAAAUAAACUAUUCAAAUCAUAAUAUUUUAUUUGAAUCUUAGAAUAUUUAAAAUAAAUAAUAUUUAGGAAAAUUUGGGUAAGGUGUAAAAUGGUAAAAAUAUUUUAAAAAUUAUGAUUGGUUAAAAUAUUCUAAAAACUAUGAUUAAUAUUUUCCUUUUGAAAAUAAAAAUAAUAAAGGAUAAAAACUAAUUGUCGUUCUUUUAAAAUAACAACUAAAAUAUUCAUAUUUAACACUUUUAUAAAAAUUAAUUUCAGGUUAAUUUGUUGUUUUGGCUAAAUAGACAUAGCUUUGAUAUCAGGUUAUAAGUGAACAUAUAUAUAUAUAUAUAUUUGUUGAGAAAAUCUGAAGCUCUUUUGGAUUUAAAAUAAGGGGUAAGGGUUUUGUAGGUAUAUUAUAAUUGAAGAUCAAGAUAAGAAGGAGGGUGAGGGAAAGGCCUUUAUCCAACCCUCUUACCCAACCUGUUUUGUUUUUUAUUUUUAUUGUUUAGAAAUUUAUAAUAUUUUAAAUUGUUUUUUUAAAUAAAUUUUUUUCUCUUGUGCAAGGAUAAAAUUACUUAGUUCUUUGACAAUUUCUCUGUUUUUAUUAAUUUUACAAUUUUUUUUUUCAAAUUUUAAGAUUUUUUUUUUUUAUUCUUGAAAACAUAAAUUUGAAAUUUUUUUAUUUAAUUCUAAAUUUUAUCCAUAAGAUAUUUUCAUUAAGGGUAAUUUUGGUGUGUUAAAAAAAGGUUUUUUUUUUAAUUUAUUUAAAAAGCAUCUAAUUUGUUGUUCAACAUGGUAUCCACUUUGGUAGAAGGUCAUAGGUUUGAGUCAUCUCUCCACAAUUUACAUGUUUGUUUCCUCUUUUGUUUGUUGGAUAUAAAUCCAAAUUUUGUGUAUCUCUCCCCAUGUGGGCCUAAAUUAAGCUUAAGCUUUUAGGAAAAAAUUGAUAGUUAUAUAUUUUAAAAACUUUAUAAGGAAAUUGAAAAUAAUAUUUUGGAGGGAAAAUGAUUAAAAUAAAAUUUAAAAAUGGAUAUUCAUUUUUUAAUAUUUUUUAUUUAUAAUUAUUUAUUAUAAUGAAAUGAGAAAAAGGAGAACUUUAUUUUGUCUGAUUUCUUCAACGACUAAUUCUCUAUAUUUUUAAUAUAAAAUUAUAAUUAAAUUAAAUCAAUUUUAAUCUAUCAUGAAAAUAAUUUUAAUAAAAAAUUGUGAAUAGAAAGUGAAUUAUAAAGGAGCCGGAGAAAAAUAAUAAAGUGAAAAUUUAAUUUUAACAAUAAAUGUUAAUAUAAAUAAUAUAAGAAUAAUAAAAUAAUGGUUGUUAUUAUUUUAAUUUAGAAAGGAAAAUUUUAGGUGUAAUUGGAAUAAAUGUUGCAAUGAAUUGGAUAGGAGAAUUAAUGAAAAUUUUAUUCAAAUAAUAACAUUUUAUUUAAAUAUUAGAAUAUUUAAAAUGAUUUACAUUUGGAAAAUUUGGGGUAAGAUGUUAGAUGAUUAAAAUAUUUUAAAAUUUAUGACUAAUUUUUUACUUUUGAAAAUAAAAAAGAGUAUAAUAUAUUUUAUUUUAUAUAAGAAGACUAAUUAAUUUUCAUUUUAAAAUAACGGUGAGAGUUAAUAAUUUUAUUAACUUUAUAUUUACAUUAAUCAUUAAUAAUAAUUUUAUUAUUUAGUUUUUUUUAAAAAGAAAAAGGCUAGUGGAUCAUAGAUAAAAUAUGAAGAAGUAGAGAAAAAUAAUAAAGUUAAAAGUGAAAUUUUAAUUUAAAAACAUUAAAUAUUAAUAAGAAAAACAUUAUAAAAAAAGGGUUAAUCUUUAAUAGGAAUAAACAUAGCAAUGAUUUUAAAAGCCAAAUUAUUGAAACUUUUAAUAGAAAAAAUAAUUUUAAAAAUAAAAUUGUUCAAAUGAGUAUAUGAUUUAAAAUGAAAUAAUAAGUGGUUGCAUAUGGAACGUAUCAAAAUGAAUGAUUGUUUGCCAAGCAAAGCUCUUGAUCACCAUUCAUGAAACAUUAUUUGUUUUAAUUUGAUUUAUCGAAUUUUUUUGUAACAUUAUUAUUUUUUUAAAUAUAAUAGAAGUGAACAUGUGAAUAUUUGAGAGUUAUAAAUUAUGUUUAAGGAAUAUUUUUAUAUUUAUCAUAACUUUAUAAUUGUUGAUGUUACAUAAUGCAUUGUAUCUCUGUUGUAGGUUUCAUUCCCUAACUUAGAGGAGUUAAAACUUGUUGGUCUUCCCAAGUUGAAGAUGAUAUGGCAUCACCAACUUUCACUUGAAUUCUUUUGCAAGUUACGAAUAUUAAGAGUGCAUAAUUGUCCACGUCUAGUCAAUCUUGUUCCAUCUCAUUUGAUACAAAGCUUCCAGAAUUUGAAAGAGCUAAAUGUGUAUGAUUGUAAAGCCCUAGAAUCUGUGUUUGAUUAUCGAGGAUUUAAUGGAGAUGGUGGAAUCCUCUCAAAAAUAGAAACAUUGACGUUGGAGAAACUACCUAGACUAAGGCUCACUAUAUGCAAUGAAGACAAGAAUGACAACAUGAGCUAUCUUUUAUCACCUUCCAAGUUCAAGGAUUUUUACCAACUCAAAGAGCUAUAUAUCAUUGAUUGUGGGAUGCUUUUGGAUGGAGAGGUUAGUUUUCUCCUAUAUUUUUUCUUUUUCCUUAUGCUACUUGAAAUAUUUAGGGAGAUAUACUAUAAAAAUAAUUUUGAAAAAAAGUAUGAAAAGAGUACAUUAAUCUUUAAUAAUAAUUUUAUUAAAUUAAUUUAAAAUUUAAAUUUAAAUAAUAAAAAUUGUGAAUAAUAAGUAAAUUAAAAAUGAGUUGAAAAAAGAAAAUUUAAAGUGAAAAAAUAAUUUUAAAAAGGAUAAAUGUUAAUAGAAAUAAUAUACAAAUAAGGAAAAAAUGGUAUUUAUUAUUUUAAUUUAGAAAGAAAAAAAAUUAGGUGCUAAUUGAAAGAAAUAUUACAAUGAAUUGGAAAGGAGAAUUAGUGAAAAUUUAAUUCAAAUAAUAAUAUUUUAUUUAAAUUUUAUAAUAUUUAAGAUCAAUAACAUUUGGAAAAAUUGGGGUAAGAUGUUAGAUGAUUAAAAUAUUUUAAAAUUUAUAACUAACUUCUUACUUUUGAAAAUAAAAAAGAGUAAAACACAUUUUAUUUUAUACAAGGUAAUUAAAACAUAUUUGAUUUCAUAUAAUGAGACUAAUUAAUCUUGAUUUUAAAAGAACCUUUAAAGUUAUAAUUUUAUUAUUUAGUUUGGAAAACUAUAAAAAGAACCGGUAGUUCAUAAAUAAAAUAUAAAGGGGUCGAAAUUAAGAAUAAAGUUAAAAUCAAUUUUUUUUUAAAAAAAAAUAUUAAAUAUUAAUAUAAAAACAUUAAAAAAUAAGGAAAUAUUGUAAAUUUUAUUUUAAUUUAAAUAAAAAGGUUUAGUGUUAUUAGAAAUAAAUAUAGUAAUGAAUUUAAAAGUAAAAUUAUUGAAAAUUUUAAUAAGAAAAAUAAAUUUAAAAAAGAAAUGAUUAAAGUUUGUAUAUGAUUUGAGAGUUAAAGAAUUAUAUUAACAACAUAUUUUUAUUGUUAUCACACUUUUAUAAUUGAUGAUGUCAUAUAUUAUAUAUUGGGUUUCUGAUGUAGGUUUCAUGUCCUCCUAAUUUGGAAGUGUUGGUUCUAAAAAGUCUUCCCAAUUUGAAGGAGAUAGAUGUUGGGAUCUUCGCACAGUUAAAAAUCCUAAUAUUAAAGAAACUACCUAGGCUAAGAUAUACAUUUGCUUCCCAGCUCAAGAAUUUUCACGAUCUCAAAGAGCUACACAUCAUUGAUUGUGGGAUGGAAGGCGGGAGAGAUGUCAGUACUCCUAGUAAUGAUGUAGUUCUCUUCAAUGAGAAGGUUAGUUUUCUCCCGUAUUUUUUAUUUUUCCUUAUACUACUCUCUUGAAAUAUUAAACUACCAAUCCUUUAAAAUAACAAUCAAAUUACUUUAUUAUCCUUUUUUUAACAUUUAAAAAAAAUUAAAAUACAAUCCUACAUAUUAUUUAUUACAUAGAAAUUAUAUAUACACAUCAUUUUUAGUUUGGACAUCCUUUCUCCUUCACACUUGUUUUUUCUAAAAAAAUUAUGUAUUAUUUUAUUGUUAACAUUAAAAGAAACGUAAUAUUUUUCAAAAAACAAAGUUAUGAACUUUUUCUUCGUAUCAAUUAUGUAAGUCUUGCAAUUUUAUAUUUUAUUUUGUAUGUUUUGAUUAAUUUUUUGAUUUUUCAUACUCUAUUUAUUUAAUAUUUUGUUUGAGACCCCAUUUAAAUAUAUUUCUUGAAAAAUAUUAAUUUUAUAAUAGUUGUUUGAUUUUUGGGGAAAUUAUUUAAAAUGAAAAUUACUUUUUAUUUAAAAAAUGGAAAAACUAAAAAAAUAUAUAUGUUAUAUUUUUUUUAUUGUGCUCUAAAAUUUAAAAUUUGUUUUAUUUUAAGUACAUCUCCUACAUUCUCACGUUAAUAAGAAUUUUUCAGGAUAAAAAGAUUUGAUAUUUUUUUAUUUAAAUUUAUCAUGCUCUACUAUGUUUAAUUCAUCCUUCUUAUAUACAUUUGUUAGAUAAAUAUUUUAUCAAUAAUAUCAAUAAAUUAAUUAAUUAUUGAUAAUUUAUUUAUUUAUAUGGUAUUUUAAUUUUACAAAAUAAUUUUUUUUCUUAAAUGGUAUUUUAAUUUUUAUAAAACAAAAAAAAAAAUUGUCAUCAAAUAAGAUAUCAUAAAUAUUUGUUUUAAUUAAGAGUUUUUUUAGGUUAAAUAAAAUAAAUUUUAAUCCUUUUAUGUUAAAAAAAAAAAAGAAAAUAAUAAAAAAUUUUCAAAUAUUUUAAUCCCAGUUGUGUCAAAAUAAUUUCGAAUUUUUUUUUUCUGUUAUAAAUCAAGUUGGGAGAUAUUCACUUGGACAUAUUGGGAAAUUUUAAUAUAUGAAAUGUGUGUGUGAAACAAAAGGAACCGUUUUCGACAUGCCACCUCUUCCCAAAAGUACAAAACUAUGUACCUUAUUUCCAUUUUCCACUGCUUUGCUCGCAUUGCAGUUGGCCUCAUGGCCUGACCUUGUUCUACUCAUCCCUCUUUUCUAUUAUUUUUAACAAAAAAUAAUAUAUAUAUAUAUAUAUAUAUAUAUAUAUAUAAGGGUAUUAUAAGGGUAUUAUGUGGGUCCCAAUAAAUUCUAGAUGUUUAGGUGAUAUUUAAUCCUUGAUUUACCAAAGUUUCCCAAAAUAUUCUAUCACAAUUUUCCAAUUCAUGGAUAUAAUCCAUAAAAGAUAAAACAAUUCUUCAAAAUCAGGUAACAAAAUGUAUUUUUCCUCUUAAAAAAAUUAAAAAUUCAAUGCAAUUGCUCCAUUAUAUUAUAAAAAGAAUCAAGAAGAAAUCACCAAAAGCUUGUUGAGAUAUUUUGGAUGUAUUUAUAAAAAUUAAUAAAUAGCAAAGUAUAUAUAGAGUAUAGUAGUGGAGAGCAUGUAAAUGUGGACAAUAUAUUAAAAAUUAAUAAAUGACAAUAUAUAUAGUAUGUGGAAAUAAUACAUGUAUAUCUUUUUUUUAAUUUGGAUGUUUUUUUUUUCUCUUUUACUCUUUUUCUUUGAAAAAAAAUUAUGUGUCAUUUUGUUGUUGACAUCUAUUUUACAAAACUUUGAAAAAGAAAAUUUUUGUAGUUUUUUAUUUUUAAAAAUAAAAAGAGUAAGACAUAAAAAUACAAUCCUGAAUAUUAUUUUUUAUAUGAAAAUUGUGCAUAUACAUAUACAUCCUUUUUAAUUUAAAUAGUUUUUCUCUUUCUCUUUUUCCUUUUUUUUUUUAAAAAAAAAAUUGUACUAUUUUUUUGUUAAUAUCAAAAUAAACAUAAUAUUUUUCAAAAACAAAAGUUAAAAGCUUUUUCUUUGUAUGAUGAAGUAAGUUUUGUAAUUUUGUAUUUUUUUAAUUAGUCAUACUUUAUUUACUGUUAGUCAGAAGCCCAUUUGAAUUGUAUUUCUUGAGAGAUAUUAAUUUUAUAAGAGUUGUUUGAUUUGUUUUGGAAAUUGUUUAGAACAAAAAUUACUUUUUCUUUCACUAAUGAAAAAUUUAUAAUGUAACAGAAGUGAAUAUGCAAUUAUUUCAGGGUUGAAUUGAAUUAUAUUUAAGGAAUUUGUUUAUGCCUAUCAUCACAACUUUCCAAUUGAUGCCUUAUAUUGUGUUUUUGCUACAGGCUUCAUUCCUUGAAUCAAGAGCCUCCACUGUGAACAAAAUUAUGGAUGCCUUAAGAGAUGACAAUAUCAACUUGAUAAGAAUAUGGGGCACGGCCGGUGUGGGCAAAACAACACUGCUGAAACAAGUGGCUCAACAAGCUAACCAACAACAGUUGUUCACCACACAAGCCUAUAUGGAUGUAUCCUGGACUCGAGACUCGGAUAAACUUCAAGGAGUUGCUGAACUUCAACAAAAAAUUGCAGAAAAGGUGUCGGGCGUGCCACUUUGGUUGCAGGAUGGAUCCGGAAUAACGGAUGAACUGAAGCGGAGACUGAUGAUGCUAGGGAAGAUCCUUAUUAUCUUAGAUGAUAUUUGGACGGAAGUUGAUUUGGUGAAAGUAGGAAUUCCUUUUGAAGGUGAUGAGACGCAAUGCAAAAUAGUGUUGGCUUCGAGAGAUGGAGACGUAUUAUGCAAAGACAUGGGCGCACAAAUAUGUUUUCAGGUGGAACCUUUGCCACCAGAAGAAGCUUGGAGUUUUUUUAAGAAGACAUCAGGUGAUUCCGUGGAAGAGGAUCUUGAACUGCGACCCAUAGCCAUUCAAGUGGUUGAAGAGUGUGAGGGUCUACCAAUUGCAAUUGUAACAAUUGCAAAGGCAUUAAAAGAUGAGACCGUGGCUGUAUGGAAGAAUGCCUUGGAACAACUCAGGAGUUGUUCACCAACAAACAUUAGAGCAGUGGAUAAGAAGGUUUACUCAUGUCUGGAGUGGAGCUACACCCAUUUGAAGGGUGAUGACGUUAAGUCGUUGUUCUUACUUUGUGGUAUGAUGAGCUAUUGUGAUAUUUCAUUGAAUCGCUUGUUUCAAUAUUGUAUGGGUUUGGAUUUCUUUGACCACAUGGAGCCAUUGGAACAAGCAACAAAUAAACUAGUUACAUUGGUGGAAAUCCUCAAAGCCUCAGGCUUGUUACUUGAUAGUCAUAAAGAGAGACACAAUUUUGAUGGAAAAAGAGCUUCAAGUUUGCUUUUCAUGGAUGCUGAUAACAAGUUUGUGAGGAUGCACGGUGUUGUUCGUGAAGUUGCCAGAGCAAUUGCAUCCAAGGAUCCUCAUCCAUUUGUAGUUAGAGAAGAUGUUGGAUUGGGAGAAUGGUCAGAGACUGACGAAUCCAAAAGGUGCACUUUCAUCUCUUUGAAUUGCAGAGCUGUGCAUGAGCUUCCUCAAGGGUUGGUAUGUCCAGAACUUCAAUUUUUUCUAUUGCAUAACAAGAAUCCUUCCUUGAAUAUCCCAAACUCAUUUUUUGAAGCAAUGAAAAAACUCAAAGUUCUAGAUUUGCACAAAAUGUGUUUUACAACACUACCUUCAUCCUUUGAUUCCCUUGCAAAUCUCCAAACAUUGCGUCUAAAUGGGUGCAAGUUGGUAGACAUUGCUUUAAUUGGAAAGCUAACGAAACUACAAGUUCUUAGCUUGGUGGGUUCUACAAUCCAACAAUUGCCUAAUGAAAUGGUGCAAUUGACCAAUCUAAGGCUGUUGAAUUUGAAUGAUUGCAAGGAGCUCGAAGUAAUUCCACCAAAUAUCUUAUCAAGCCUGUCUCGAUUAGAAUGUUUGUACAUGACUUCUAGUUUUACUCAAUGGGCGGUUGAAGGUGAAAGCAAUGCUUGUUUAUCCGAGCUAAAUCAUUUGUCUUAUUUGACAACUUUAGGUAUAGAUAUACCAGAUGCCAAUUUGCUACCAAAAGGCAUUUUAUUUGAGAACUUGACAAGAUAUGCAAUAUUUGUAGGCAAUUUCCAGAGGUACGAAAGAUAUUGUAGAACCAAAAGAGUGUUGAAGCUUAGGAAAGUCAAUAGAAGCUUACAUUUGGGGGAUGGAAUUAGCAAGUUGAUGGAGAGAAGUGAAGAACUAGAGUUCAUGGAAUUAAGUGGUACUAAAUAUGUUCUUCACUCAUCAGAUAGGGAAAUUUUUCUUGAACUGAAGCAUCUUGAAGUUAGUAGUAGUCCUGAGAUUCAAUAUAUCGUUGAUUCAAAGGAUCAACAGUUUCUACAACAUGGUGCCUUUCCUUCAUUGGAGUCAUUGGUUCUUAGGAGACUGCGUAACUUGGAAGAAGUAUGGUGUGGCCCAAUUCCAAUAGGGUCUUUUGGUAAUUUAAAAACUCUGCAUGUGACUUUUUGUGGUGAAUUGAAAUUUCUCUUUUUUCUUUCCACGGCUAGAGGCUUUUCCCAGCUUGAAGAAAUGACAAUAGAAAAUUGCUAUCUCAUGCAACAAAUAAUUGCAUAUGAAACAGAGUCAGAAAUAAAAGAAGAUGGACAUGUUGGGACCAACUUGCAACUAUUCCCAAAAUUGCGAUCCUUGAGACUCGAGAGGCUACCACAACUCAUCAACUUCAGCUCUGAGUUAGAAACAUCUUCCACAUCUAUGAGCACAAAUGCAAGGUCGGAAAACUCAUUUUUCAAUCAUAAGGUAUGUUAAAACUUAUUAACCAAUUUCUUUGGUUUUAUUUAUUUUUUUACAUGGCUUUACAUCAAUAUAAGUCAAAGGAAAAAACUAAGGUGGUCCCGCAUGCCCUUUCCAAACUCCACCAUGUUAAACUUAUUUGAGCAUUUAAAUUUAAAUAAUAUAAAAAUAAUUAAUAAUAUAUAAAAUAUGAAGAAGUUGAAAACUAAUAAGGUUAAAAGAAAUUUUAAUUUUAAACACAUUAAAUAUUAAUAGGAAUGAGUAUAAAAAUAAGGAAAAACUAUAAGUAUUAUUUUACUUCAAAAAAGAAAAAAAUUCAAGUUAAUAGGAAUAAAUAUAGAAUAAAUUUAGGAGUGAAAUCGUUGUAAUCUUUUAAAAGAAAAAGGAAAUUUUAAAAAGGCAUUAACAAGAAUUUAUUAAUGGGAGAAAAUAAAAGAGUGCAUGUGAUUUAAAAUAAUAAAUUAUUUAUAUGAAUAAAAUUAUUUUGUGGCAUGAGAAUCCCUUAUCAUUUCAUUUUAAAAAAAUAUAUAAUUAAAGUAAACUUGUGAAUAAUCCUAAGUUAAUGAAUUAUAUUUAAGGAAUAUGUUUAUGUUUAUCACAAAUUUCCAAUUGAUGAUGUUAUAUUAUAUUAUAGGUUUCAUUCCCUAACUUAGAGGAGUUGAUACUCAAUGAUCUAUCCAAAUUGAAGAAUAUAUGGCAUCAUCAACUUCUAUUUGGAUCCUUUUGCAAUCUACGGAUCUUAAGGAUGUACAAAUGUCCAUGUCUACUCAAUCUUGUCCCAUCUCAUUUGAUACACAACUUCCAAAAUUUAAAAGAGAUAGAUGUGCAAGAUUGUGAACUCCUAGAACAUGUUCCUCAAGGAAUUGAUGGAAAUGUUGAGAUCCUCUCAAAGUUAGAAAUCUUGAAGUUGGACGACCUGCCUAGGUUGAGAUGGAUUGAAGACGGGAAUGAUAGCAUGAAAUAUAUUUCCUCUCCUCUGACACUCAUGAAUAUUCAAAACUUCAAAGAACUACAUAUCACUAAUUGUAGAAUGGAAGACUUAUAGAAGAUGUAGUACUCUUUUGUGAAAAGGUUAGUUUUCUCCCAUACUUUUUAUUUUUCUCUCUCAUACUUUUUAUUUCUUCUUAUACUAUUUUUUGGAAUUAUUGAAAAAUAUAUUCUAUAAAAAAAAAGUAUGAAGAUUAUAUUAAUGUUUAAUAAUAAAUUAUUAAAUUAAAAAAUUUAUUUAAUUUUAAAUAUUUUUCAUAUAAAAGAUUAAUUAUCAUUCCUCCAAAAUACAAUCAAAUCACCCUUAUUUAAAAAAAAUUAUAGAAUUUAUUUUUAAUAGAUUAAAAAAAUUGUGAAUAUUCUAGCUCUUUACAUUCAUAAUAAUUAACUCCCUUUAUUUUCAUCUAAUUUAACUAAAUAAUACACCUUUUUUACAAUGAAAAAACCUUUGGUAAUUUAAAUUAGUAUAGUAUGCGAAUGAUAUAAUAUAAGUUUAUGAUAAGUAUAACUUUCAAUAUGAAUACUAAAAAAGGAACAAUAUUUUGUAUGUUUACUAUUAACAUGUAAUAAUAAAUUUUAUUAAUUAAAAAUUAUUUUCAAAUAAUAUAAAAAAAUAAAUAAUAAAUAAAAUAUAAAUGAAUUGAAAAACAAGAUUAAAGAAAUUUUAAUUCUAAAAAACAUUAAAUAUUAAUAGGAUGAAGGUAGAAUCCAUCUUUUUAUCUAGAAGCAAGAAUGUUUUUUUUUUCUUUCUUUCUAAUAUAUUCUACAAACACUAUAGCUAAGUUUUACCUUAUUAAUAUUGAAAUGGAAUUAUUUUCUUUUGUUCUUAUCAUUUUCAUUUUUUUAGGUUUACUAGUUUUGCUCUAUAUUUUCCUUUAUUUAUAUUGAAAUGGUAUCAUUCCUAUUUGUUCUUAUUAUUUUCAUUUUUUUAGGUACACUAGAUUUAAUAUAUGUUUUGCUCUAGUUGAGAUGAAGUGUAAAUGCAACAUUUGUAAAAGAAAUUGUUAAUGAUGUUUGCGAAAUUGUCAAUGAUGUUUCCUUCAAUUGUUUCCUUCAUUUGAAAGAGUUUAUUUUUUCAAACACAUGCUAGAUUUUCAUAUGCAUUUUGUUCUAGUCAUUGUCAUAUUCCUAAUAAAAUGUGUUUGCUAAGUGUGUGGUCUUGCAUAAUAAUGAAAGUUCUAAUUUAUCAGUUUUCAACUUCUUGUAUUGCCUAUGUUAACAUUUCAUAAAUUAUGAAAUAAAUGUGAUAAAAGAAUCUUUUUCAUUUGCUAAAUUUAUGUAUAUUCUGAGUAAAUUUUUAAUCAUGUCUUAAAUUAUAAAAUAUUGCUUUCAAAGGUGAAAUAUGAAAUUGUGAAAAUUCAUUAAAUAUGAUCUAAUAAUAAAUAAAGGAUUCAUAACAUCAUUUGAUAGGGUGUUCAAAGUUUAGCUUGACAUAUAAUUUUAGUCAAAUAUAUUCAAGAAUGCCUUGUGAAGACAAUUGUUAAGAGUAAAAAUCUCUUUAUUUAUUCGAUGAGUCUAAUUGACUAGAAUAUUUUUCUUGGAUGAUCGACCUCAAAUAACAUGAUCCAAAUGACUUUUUCACUUGUAUGCUCAUUGUUAAGAAUCCAUCCAUUUUAUGUUUGGAUGGUUAUUGAUUGCUAGGAAAAUCAAAUUCACUUGCAAAUUGCUUAAUUAUGAUAUCUAAUCAUGUAACCAAAGUGACAAUAUUCUAAAGCAACCUCCAAGUCUUUCGAGGGUUAUGAAAGGUCUACUUGAAAAAUAAAUAGAUAAAUAGGACUAGCAACCUGUCAAUUUGACCAUCUAGUGAUUUAGGCUUUAGAUGACACCACAUCGAAUUUAGAAUGAUUUGGUAAUAACGUUAUGUUAGAGGGACGCCAUAUGUUGUCCUAAGUGUAAUUCAGAAUUUGCAUGCAUUAAGUGAAAAAUUCACGAGUCUUCUUUCGUGUUUAUUAUUCUAAACUUCAUGUUCUAAACAACAUUAUUAUGAAACUUAAGCCAUUUCACCAAAAAGAAAGAAAACUUGAUAUCCAUGAUCCAAGAAUAACGGAAUAACACAUGAUAAGUUGAUACUUAAAUACUUUAACCGUCUAAUGUUUCUUAUGAAAAUAUAUCUUUUUAUCUCUUUCCAUUGUAGAUACUACCAAAAGAAUAAGAUAUGGUCACGUAGUUUUAGAAAGGGUUAACAAAAUUCGCAGCUAAAAAGUAUAUAUAACCUCACAGCUGUGGGAUGAAAUUGGGCGCCACUAUAAAUAUCCUAUUGCUGUGGGAUGAAAUUGGCCGCUACCAUAUAUGGCCCCAUGGACGCCACUAGGCCGCUACCAUAAAACCCAUAUACAAACUGCAACAUUUCUCCCCUGCUCACCCUCAUUGCCAAACCCACUUCUCUCCUGCCUACCAUUGAUUGCCAAAGCCAUUUCUUCUUUCAUCAUUGUCGGUACCAAACUCGUUCUUUUUCUCUCUCUCUUGCAAUAGUUGGCUGAUUCUUCAAGCAUUGCGACGCGGCUGGUAUUUUUUUCUUUCAACAUUGUCAUUUUAUUUUAUUUUUUAUUUUUUCGAUUUCACUCUUAUUUUCUACCAUAGGGUUUUCUGUAGGGUUUCGAAUUGCUAGGGUUUCAAUUUACCAGAGGAUUUGGACGCUUUUCAAGUAUGACUUAUCCAUUUUUUUGUCCACUGAGUACUGUAGAAAUUUCGAUUUAGACGUUUUCUAGCUGAUUUUCGUUCCCUUCUUGUGGAUUGAGAUAAGCUCUUAAGUUUGAUGAUUUCUCAAAGAUGCUGUUGGUGUAAUUUGAAGCCCUAAACGUAGGUAUGAAAAUUCCACCUGAGAGUGCCCUAAAAGGCUUUACUGGGUUAGACAGGAAAGGUAUGAAGAUCAUCCACCUACUUGGAUAUCAUUGAAACAUAACUUUUGGGGAAAUCAAGCCUAACUUGAACUUGAUUCAACCUUGCACCUAUGCUUCUAGGAAAAUUAUUGAUUUUGUGAAUGGGCUGUGUUGACUUGGUCUACGGAUGUUUGAUGUUCCGUUUUUUUUUUUUCUCUGGAAAAAACUAGGCCAUGAUGUGUGUAUUUGAUGAAUUAAUUCAACAUAUUUGGUUGGUUGAUUGGGUAAACCUUGUUCUGACCUAAUUUAAUAAAAAUCCUAAAUCUAUUAGGUAAUAUUAUUGCUGGAUGUAACAUAUAUGAUAAGAGUUAUUCUCCAGUAUUUUCUAAUUUGGAUAAGGUAUGAGACAUGAAAACAAUUUGAUGGAAACCUUCUGAAUCCCAUUCUGUUGUGCUUGUUUCUUGUGUUAUGUUGUUUACCCCUUUUUAAUUUUUUUUUAUUUCUUUGCCAAAUAAGGUGAGAAAAAAGGACCUCAAGUUUGUAGCUCAUUUUUACAAAUUGUUUAAGGCACUGGCUUCUCACCUAUGGAUGUUGAUGCCCUUUGCUCUGUUUCUUUUAUCCUUUUGUUGUUGGUUUUAUGGCUACUAGAAUUUGUUGACAUUGCUGUUACUAGAUGCUACUUUGGGCAUAUUGUUUUAGCAAGUUACCAAGUUUGUUGGAUUCUCCUUUAUGUUCUCUAGUUUGGAAACUAAGACAAGUAUCAAGAACGGGUAUCAAACCCCUAUUUCUUAUCCCUUCUCAAUUGAGACAAGUAUCAAUUUACUGGUGACCCUUUUCCAUAUGGAUUUCUAAUGCUAAAAUUGACCUCUUCCAUAUGUAAAGUUUGAUUGGUGUCUUAAUCCCAAAAGUUCAUCGAAUAACUCAGACACUACUAUUGAAGUAUAUCGUUUCAAAUAUAUCCUUAUGCCAGCUCACAUUAAAAGAAGAUAGGGUAGGGAGGAAGAACCCCAAAUUUAAUUGUGACACCAGCCUAGCCAUUACCAUAUAAGAUGAGCCAAAAAAGGCGUUCAAAAUCACAUGUGAGCUGUUAAUUCAUCAUGCCACUCAAAUCUGCUCAUCAUUUCUCACUUGUGACGUGAAAAAUCUGUAUUUAUGUAUGUAGCUUUAACAGGAAACCGUUUGCCUACACUACUAUCCAAGCCAAAUUUCAGAGAGACAAAUUCUAGGAAUACAAGUAGGGAACUUAAUUUGCCUUCAUCAAGCUCCCUUAUAUUUGGAAGGAUAAAAAUUAUGUAUGACGCUUGAUAAUUAAUUAUUUUAAAAAUCACUUUAUUAAUUUUAGAAUAUGUCACUAAAAAUACUAUUACAAAUUUACAAAGUACUUUUUCUAAUUUAUAUUAUAUUAAUUGAUUCUUAAAUUUUAAUAGAAGUGUGAUUGAAAAAGAAAAUAGUAGCAACUGAAGUGGUUGGUAAAAUAUAAGCAAAUACUAGACAAUAAAUUAUUACUUUCAAAUUAUAUUUUUGUAUAUUAUUGCUGGACAGGAAAAAUCUUAUUGCUUCUUAGGUAUGUCUUACCAAGGUAAAUGAGAAAAUCUAAUCAAGUAGUUAUCUCUUUUGCAUGUGAAAGUGUUGGUCAUGUAGUCAUAUGCAUGGCUAUAACAUGUAGGACAAGAAGCCUUGAACACUUUAGAAUAGUCUGUUGGCAUGCAGGUUUUAGGAGUAUGGAAAUUGGCAUGUUGUAGCCAUCAACUAGGCUAACACCAUAGAAAUCUACUGGUUUGUCAAGGGUAUACUCUGCUAGUGUUGCAACCGCUGUAGUAGAUAGCAGGUGUAGAAGUCACCAAUGAUCCAUACCGUAAGCCCAUUUGCAUGGUUUCAAAAGCACAUAUCAGACAGUACUAGAUCAGGAGCACUGACAAUUUAUAUUUUCUGGAAAGAUGAAUUCUGCUAAUCCGCAGGAAAUAAUCUAGCAGAACUCUUCCAUUUUUAAUAUUAUCUAGUAUUAAAGUAACCAACAAGCAUACUUUAGUCCCCAUUUAGUCUGGUUCUCAAAAUUGCAGCAUGCAACAUGGUAUGCCAUUGCUAAAACUUCAUUAGACUAGAUUGACUUGUUCACUAGAUGAUCCUGGUUCAGUUCUGAGGUUUCUAAUGGGCCACCAAAGAAGACUCCUCACCUGAAAAGGCAUCUAGUACUUUGGAUUUUGGUAUGCUUGAAGAUCACUUACUCCAGUCAAGUUUAGUCGGUAAUAGACCCUGAGGAAGAAUGGCCUGCAAACAAUAUGAUGGAGCAUCAAUAGUUGAGGAAGAAUGGCCUCUGUUUGGUAAUUGUUAAGGCAUUCAGCAUGAAACAAACUAAUAAUCUUUAUGGGUAAAUGAUUUUGUUUUGAUAUUGAUGAAUUGUAGCCUUGUCUUUACCUGAUGUGAACUCCUAUCCUCCAUUGUUUUGAAUAUCUUAAGAUAAUAUCAAGCUGAAUAGAAAGAUGGGAGCAUAGUGGAGUGUCUAGGAUCCAUGCCCCUGGUGUUUUUGGAGUGAGCAUUGGAGAAGAAUUAGUUUCCUGGCCUACUGUCUAAACAUUGAAGGUAGGAUUCAUUUGCUCAGGAAUCUGCUACCUGCUCCCUUAAGAUGAAUUAAAAGGAUGUAUCUUUGAGGCGGGAAGCCUGGAAGGCAAGGCAUACAAUUGAUAUAAGCAUAACAAUAAACUUUUUGAAGAUGUUUAAAUUAUGAUAUUGGAAAUUAGUUUGGACCAAAAUAUUCAUGGCUAGUCAUUAUAAAUAUAGGCAUCUGAGAUUGCCCUCAUAUUUUCCAAGUUUCUAAAUUGAUGGUCACCUGUGUGUAGCUGAAUUUCUUUUUGUUAAAAUGCCCUAUGCCAUUGGGUUUAAACCAUAAUUUUGCUAGGGUCUUUCUGCUGUUGCUUAGAGAAACCUAAACAUUCUAGAACUUCAAAGUCCAUUCUCUUUUCUUAAUUGCUUGUCUCUCUCAUUGAACUGUUCCCAUUAAUUUCCCAUGGAAAGUACAGUUCUCCUUGUUACGUCUGUGAUGCGGUAUGGUUUGAAUCUCUCUCUAUUUGUUGAUGCCCACUCUAGGUGAAAGAAACUGCAGAAAAUGCUGAUGAAGCUAUGAGAUAACUUCCAAAUGCUAAUUUGGUAAGGUCCCAGAUUGUUUAAACCAUAUCUUUAUAAAAGAAGUAUAUCUUGAAUAGUAACAACAUUUUUUUCUUUUUUCACGAACCAGAGGAUUUGUGGAUUUAUCAUUCAAAGGUUGUUCUCCCCAAGCCUCAUAGGAAGGAAACUCCACAUGGAGAGCUAUAUAGAAGGUGCAUUGGCUAGAUAAAUAUAACAUGGUACUUAUACCACAUUUUUCUGCAUUCCAUGUUAUUUUCCUGGAUUUUUAUUUUAUUUUAUUAUUAUACUCUAAUUUAACACUAUGCUUUCUUUAUCUCAUUCCUUUACUUAGGUACUCAUUUGCAGAUUCUAGAUGCUGAAGAAUAGAUAGGCCUGAAGCAUUUUAGGCCGGUAAAACCAUUGGGAUCUGGUGACACUGGCGGGUUUAGAUGGUUUUUCUAUUUGUUGCCCAACUUUUUGCCCCAAUUUUGUUGGAAUUAUGUUCUAUCCUAUGGCUCCUAUUUAGGAACCAAAGGAUUUAUUUCCCUUUUAGGCCUAAUUUGACUCCAUUCAUUUCUGGGUGUUGAAAAUUUUUCGUUUUUGAGAAGAUUUGCUUCUGGGUAUUUAUUGUGUGUUGUUUAUCUUGAAGAAACCGCAUCUAUCAGUUGCAAUUUGCUUUUACAGGAGCAAGUUAUAGGCAUGUUUCCUCUUGAUUCUUUCAUUCUCUGUUCCCAUAUAUUUGUGUUCUCGGUUCAUGUUUCAGGAUGAAUCUAUGUUGAUAUGGUACUCUAUCAAAGAAGAGAAACAACUUAAACUAAGCAAUGUUUCAAGAAUUAUUCUUGGACAGUGUACUAUAAGUUUCUAUAAAUCAUAACCUGAGGCAACUUUUAGACCAUUCUUGAAUUCAAACUUACAUCUUGUUCUUAUGUUUUCCAUCUAUUGUUGUAGUUCAUCCAAAUCUCUCCCCACUCAUAUCCACUCUUGAGUUGAGGCCUCUCAACCUUUCAAUGUAUGCCAUUGAUUUUGAGGAUAGUUUCUUCUUAAAAGUUGCAGCUAUAGUGAAUUUUGGUGCUCCAUAACUACUCUUCAGUGUUUACUAGCAUUACUUAUUGUCAGUUCCACAGUAGUAUGACUAAUAUAUUUAUGUGUUUGUGAGAGUUUUUUCAUAUAUACAAAUGGAAUCUUAUGAAGUUAUUCUAGAAGUAAUUUUUUUUUGAAUUUCUAUUGGAUUAUGAUUUGGAUUUAUUUAUUUCUUUUUCUUGGUUGGUUGCACCUUUUGAUUUGCAAGAAAAGAGGAUGAAAAUGAAAAGCUAAAGAUAUUCUUGUUAAUUUAACCAUUUGAUUCUCUUUCAGGCAGAAUAUGAGGGAAAUUUGAAGGGAAUCCUUGGUUACACUAAUGAUGAUGUGAUAUCAAGUGAUUUUGUGGGAGACUUCAUGUCACACCCCAAAUUCUGGGCAACCCAAAAUUUGGCCUAUGACCCCAGGUCAAAGGUUUGACCCUAAGGGUUCCUCCUAAUACACGUUCUGAAAUUAUUUUUAUUUUUCUACGCAUAAUCACACUAAAGCUCCCUCCAAUUAACAAUUCAAUUUAUCAACAUACUAACCACUACUCAAGAGCAAUUAUAUAUAAUAAUGAUCAUUAAAAUCUAGAAAUAAGAGUUCACAAUUGAACAAAUUAAUCAAAAUAAAGUCUCAUUACAAAAAUAUAGUUUCAAAGUUUGCUAAUACAAGUCCCAAAAUAGCCAACAUAACAAAUACACUACAAUUCGAUAGGCUGCUCCAAGAUCUCCUAGGGCAUCUUAAAGUCCUCCUUACCUCACCUAUGGAUCCUCAGGAGUUACAUCUACAUCUAAAAAGAUGUAAAAAGAAAGGGGUGAGCAUUCCACAUUGCUUAGUAGGAUGUCUUACAUAGGGUGUCUUACACCUAAGGGGUUAAUUGGAAUACUAAGUUCCAAGUGAAUACAAAAGAAACAUUCGACCAGCAUUGGUCAACCCACAUAUUUUAAUUUCUAUAAUUAUAACAAUUCCACAAUUUUCAACAAUUAAAUAAAAUGCAUAUAAAUAUGUGACACACACACUCAUACAAUGCAUUGUCGUUCUCGGGCUUUCAUUGAAUGAUACACGUUCGUACCCAAAUACACUCCCCAUUUGAAGUCUUAUUUUUGGGUCUUUCACCCUUGGGAUCUUUCUCUCUUCUUAAUUUGUCACACAUGAGCCUUUACUGUUCAUUAGUAUUUCAUUUUUCUUCUUUUUUUCAUUUCAUGCACUUUUCUCAAUUUUUAUUUUUUCCUUCACACAACCAUGAUGCAAAUGAAAUGCACUGAGGUCAAUUAUAUUAUUCGCAAAUAUCACAAUAUCAAAUAAAAAUUUUCAACUAGUCUAAAUAUUAUUGAAAUUACAAUCAUACCACAAUUUCAUAAUUUUUCAACAAUCCCAAUAAUUCAAAUAAUCAAAUAUAAUUAUUUUCUCCAUAAUAAAAUUAUCAAAAACAAUAAAAUAAAUUUCCAACAAUUCAAAUCUCAAUUAAACAUAAUUUAUAGCAAAAUUCCAUAAUUUUCUAACAACACCAAUACUCCAAUAAUCAAAUAUAAUUAUCUUUCCACAAUAAAAUUGUCAAAAAUAUUCCAAUAAAUUAUCAAAAAAUCCACAUAUUAAUAAAUUAUAAUUUAUACGACAAUUUCAUUUAUUCUCAACAAUUCCAUUAAUUUUAACAACCCAAAUGCAAUCAUUUAUCGAUCAAAAAAAAAAAAAAAUUCGUCAGCACCAAAUUUUCAAAAAUAUUCCCAAAUCAUCUAAUCAAAUUUCCUAUAUCACAAAUAUUACCUAUUUAUCUCCUAACAACAAAAUUUAUAAUCUUUUUCAAGAAAAAAAAUAUUUAAUUAAAGUUUUAGGGUUAAGUUUCCUUACCACAGUUCUACCAAUUGGACCGUUGAAAACAAAAUCAAUCAUCAUAGAAACGUUCCUUGCAUUGAGUAGAACUCUCCCGCAAAAUUCCAUGUGAAACAUAUCUCGUUUGACUGUCCAAAUGGUCGGCUAAAGGCAACGGCACUGUGACUCUCCCUAUCGCCACCAAGACCCCUGCCCUUUCUGCCACUUCUCUUUUCCUUUUCUCCUUCCCCUUUUUCAUUUCUUAUUCAUUUUGCCUUUAAGCCUCUCAGCCACUAAAUGACCCAUGACCCAACACCAUUCAAAGCCUUUGAAUUAUUGAUUUCUUGUUUUGUAUUUUUUUUUUCUUUUUCAAUUCAUUUCCCUUUCUUUUCUUAAUUCAUUUUUCAUUUCACUUCAUUUUCAUUCAUUUUUUUUUCUAACAACACACGAAAUAAAUUAACAAACACUAUCCUAAAAAAUUUUAACUUUUUCAAAUUUAUUAUUAAGCAAAUUAAUUCAAUUAAAAUUAACUAGAACUAAUUAAGUAAAAAUUAAAUUAAUUUGCAUAAUAAUAAAUUUGAGAAAAUUAAAAUUUUUUGGGAUGAUGUUUGUUAAUUUAUUUUUGUGUGUUGUUAAAAAAAAUGAAUGAAAAUGAAGUGAAAUGAAAAAUGAAUUAAGAAAAGAAAGUGAAAUGAAUUGAAAAAGAAAAAAAAACAAAAGAAAUCAAGAAUUCAAAGGCUUUGAAUGGUGUUGGGUCGUGAGCCAUUCAGUGGCUGAGAGGCUUAAAGGCAAAAUGAAUAAGAAAUGAAAAAGGGGAAGGAGAAAAGGAAAAAAGAAGUGGUAGAAAGGGGAGGGGUCUAGGCGGUGACAGGGAGAGUCAUAGUGCCACUACCUUUGGCCAACCGUUUAGAUAGCCAAACGAGCUACAUUUCGCGUGGAAUUUUGAGGGAGAAUUCUACUCAAUGCGAGAAACGUUUUGUAGACCCCCGGAAGCAGGGACCUUUUUUUUUUAAUUUUAAUUUUUAUUUCCCGGGGCUCGACAUGAUGGGAGAGCUGUGUUUGGGGGCUCUGAAGCUGCAGGGGAGAAGGCAGAGCUUUUGGGGGCUACAGAUGGGACGGGAUACGGUUGGCUUGCGGAGGAAGACAAGAAGAGAAGAAAAACAGAGGGAGAAAAAAAAAAAAAAAAGGAGGAUUCUUCGGGGGGAGAGGAGCUUGCCUGAGGAAGAAGGAAUGCGCAAAGGAGUCACUGUGAAAGAGGCAUCUCAGGUAUUAUUCCUAUAAACUAUUUACUCAUUUUCGUGUUAAUGCCAUUUUUUUCUUUUUGUUAAGAAACUCUGUUUUGGUGUUGGAGCAUGCUCGCACUCACGUUGCGUGUGAUUGCUAACCCGUUCUCAUGGGAUUAUUUUCCGAGUUUUCUUUCUUUCUUUCAUGAGUUGUUGGCCGUCACGACUUGAUUGCUAUUUGCAAACCUUUUGGAAAUUCAUUUGAUACCCAUAUCCUCGUUCCCAUGCAUACGCCUACUUAACCGCAUUACCAAACCCAUUUUUUCCUCUUACCUGUGCAUGGCUUCGCAUGGCCAUCUUGUAUACCCCUUGCCCAUAUUCUCGGACCCAGCUGGAAAAGUGUCACGGGAAAUGAUCUUUGAGGCCUGAGAACAGCCCAGAACCCUUGCCUUGCUGCCCUAGUUGACCACACACUUGUCAAGUGUGGAUGCAAUACCAUGUUCAUAGGGUUGUCGGCGAGGAAGGCUGCCACAUGCGCAUGCGCUAUGAGAGGUGGCCAUGACGAUGAUAACCAGAAUUCUGGGUGUAGAAACACGACACGAAAGUUUGCUCCAUUACCUACUUCCCCCCGCUCAGCUUCAUACCCAUUUCUCUCACAUUCUUGAAUUUCCAUGCAAACGAUGUUCCAUGCACGCAGCUGCCCUUGCCACACUCCAUUUCGUUUGGUCCUCAAGCUCAUCAUGCCAACAUUCCACUUUCUCACACCUCACAUCCAGCAGGAUUUGCUAGCCACAUCCUUGAAUCCCUCAUCCACCACCUUCGGUCUCUCCAACAACGACUCAUUGGUGGACGCCUUCAACGGGGUCUCCGUCCUCUAGGAGCACGUCGUGACGCAGCGGCAGUCACUGACCUCCUCGCGGCAGCAACUCCGCCGUCUCGGCGCCGCCCUCAAAGCCGCCACCCCUUCCCUCUCCUCUACGUCGUUGCUGGUGGAGGCCUCGCCUGAGGGAGCUGCCCAGAUGGAUGGGGGUUGCCUUGGGCUGUGAAGGAGCUCGUGUUGGUGACGGGCUUGGUGCUGCCCAUGAUGGCUAGUGGGCUUGAAGACUUAGGUGUUUUUGUUAGUGGCUUUGGGCUUGUGAUGAAGCCCAAGCCCAAGCAGGGAGAUGAAGAAAAUAAUGAGGAAAAGAAGACCUCACUGAUUUAUUGGCCCAUUCUAAAAUUGGCCCAUUGGCUUGCUCCCACUUUAUACGAAUCACUUUCUUUAAAGCACUAAUUUCCUAAUAAACUUUCUAACUUCCAAUUUCAAAGCCUAAUUUAUAAAAAUUCAACCUUCAAAUAAUAUUUCAAAAUUCCGAUCUUUAAAAUUCAAUUCCAAUUUCCGAAAAUUCUCAUACUCAUUUUAAUCUAUUUAAUUAUUAUUAUUUUAUGUAUUUAUUUUAAAAUUCCAUUUCAAACAAUUCUUUAAAAUUUCCGAAUUUCAAAUUUAAUUUCUAUUUCUGAAAAUUCCAAUAUUCACCUCAAUUUAUUUAAUUAUUAUUAUUUUAUUUAUUUAUUCUAAAAUUCCAUUUUAAACAAUUCAUUAAAAUUUCCACUUUCAAUUUUAAUUUCUAAUUCCAAAAAUUCCAAUAUUCACAUUAAUCUAUUUAAUUAUUUUAUUUUAUUUAUUUAUUCUAAAAUUCCAUUUUAAACAAUUCUUUAAAAACUUUCGAAUUCCGAAUUUAAUUUCUAUUUCUGAAAAUUCUAAUAUUCACUUUAAUCUAUUUAAUUAUUAUUAUUUUAUGUAUUUAUUCUAAAAUCCCAUUUUAAACAAUUCAUUAAAAUUUCCGACUUCCGAUUUUAAUUUCUAAAUUCCAAAAAUUCCAAUAUUCACAUUAAUUUAUUUAAUUAUUAUUAUCUUAUUUAUUUAUUCUAAAAUUCCAUUUUAAACAAUUCAUUAAAAUUUCCGACUUCCAAUUUUAAUUUCUAAAUUCCUAAUCUCGAAAAUUCACGUAUUCCCAUUAAUUUAUUUAAUCAUCAGUAUUUUAUUUAUUUAUUUUAAAACUCCAAUUUAAAUCAAUUCUUUAAAACUUCUGAUUUCCGAAUUAAAUUCCCAAUCCCAAAAAUUCCCAUAUUCCCAUUAAAUUAUUUGAUCAUUAGUAUUUCAUUUGUUUAUUUAUUUCAAAACUAUAUUUUAAUACAAAUUCUUUAAAACCGCUGAUUUUCGAAUUAAAUUCCCAAUCCCAAAAAUUCCCAUAUUCCCAUUAAAUUAUUUGAUCAUUAGUAUUUUAUUUAUUUAUUUAUUUCAAAACUUAAUUUUAAACCAAAUUCUUUAAAACCACUGAUUUUCGAAUUAAAUUCAUAAUCCCAAAAAUUCUCAUAUUCCCACUAAAUUAUUUGAUCAUUAGUAUUUUAUUUAUUCAUUUAUUUCAAAACUCUAUUUUAAAUCAAAUUCUUUAAAACCGCUGAUUUCCGAAUUAAAUUCCUAAAUCCGAAAAUCCCCAUAUUCCCAUUAAUUUAUUUAAUCAUUAGUAUUUUAUUUAUUUAUUUAUUUCAAAACUCCAUUUUAAAUCAAAUUCUUCAAAACUUCUGAUUUCCGAAUUAAAUUCCUAAUCCCGAAAAUUCUUAUAUUCUCAUUAAUUUAUUUAAUCAUUAGUAUUUUGUCUCCAUUUUAAAUCAAUUCUUUAAAACUUCAGAUUUACAAAUUAAAUUCCUAAUCCUGAAAAUUCUCAUAUUCACAUUAAUUUAAUCACUAAUAGUUUGUUUAUUUAUCUUAAAAUUCUAUUUUAAACAAUUCUUUAAAAUUUCUGACUUCUAAAUCUAAUUUCUAAUUUCAAAAAUUCCAGCAUUCCCAUUCAUUUAUUUAAUCAUUAUUUUCGUCCUUAUUAUCAUUAUUCCAUUUAUUUAUUUCAAAAUUUCAUUCUUAAACAUUUUUUUUGAAUCCCAAUUUCCGAACUUAAUUUCUGAUUUCUAAAAUUCUAAAUCCAAUUUUCUCUCUAACAGUUUUAAUUCUCUUCGGGUUUCAAAUAAUCUUUGAUUUCUCUUGAUUUUAUAUAAGCAUGAAUGCUAUUUUCAUAAUUUCAGAAUAAUGGAAUUUGUGAGACUAAUUCGUGCAAAAUAGAAUGGGCUUUGGUGGGGGCCCCACAUAUGAGAUUUCAUGAUUGAUUGACUGAUUGAUCGAUUCAUUUGCCAUGUGUGAUCGAUUUAUUUUGUUCCUUGAUAUACAUAUAAUCAUUUUGCGUUUAUUCACUAACCUCAUUCCAUGAUAGCGCGUUGCUGUUUGCUGCCCAGGUACGCAUUCACUCAUUCUGAUCAUUCACUAUACAUAUUCUGAUUCUCAUAUAUGCAUGAUUGAUGUGAGUAUCCAUUGACUUUCUUAUUCGAUUGUCACACCAGUUUCACUUUAUUAGUAGAGACCCGACUUUAGGGACUUAGAGGGGUGCUACGGUCUCUACCGUACCUUCCCGAUAAGUAAUCUGACCCGGUUUUUCGCAGACCGCCUUUUUCAAAAUAAGGAGUCACACUUAGGGUUUUUCUUUCUUAUUUUGUUUACCCUUUAAAAAUAAAACAAAAAUAAGUGGCGACUCCAAGUCAUUUUUUCUUAAUCAAAUAAAAUCAUUUUUCUAACAAAAAUCGAGUUCGCCAUCGAGUGGGAAACGCAUUGAGCCGAAAUGCGGGGUCCACACGUUUCUACGCUGGUUGAUUUUGUUUUCAACGAUUUGAUUGGUAGAUCUGUGGUAGGGAAACUUAACCCUAAAACUUUAAUUAAAUGUUUUUUUCUUGAAAAAAAUUAUAGAUUUUGUUGUUAGGGGUUAAAUAGGUAAUAUUUGUGAUAUAGGAAAUUUUAUUGGAUGAUUUGGGAAUAUUUUUGGAAAUUUGGUGAUGACGAGAAUUUUUUUUUUGGUUGAUAAAUGAUUACAUUUGAGUUGUUAAAAUUAAUGAGAUUGUUGAGAAUAAAUGAAAUUAUGGUAUAAAUUAUAAUUUAUUGAUAUGUGGAUUUGUUGAGAAUUUAUUGGAAUAUUUUUGGUAAUUUUAUUGUGAAAAAAUAAUUAUAUUUGAUUAUUGAAAUUAUUGGAGUUAUUGGAAAAUUAUGGAAUUUUGUUAUAAAUUAUGUUUAAUUGAAAUUUGAAUUAUUGAAAAUUUAUUUGGUUGUUUUUGGUAAUUUUAUUGUGGAGAAAAUAAUUAUAUUUGAUUAUUGGAAUUAUUGAGAUUGUUGGAAAAUUAUGAAAUUGUGGUAUGAUUGUAAUUUCAAUGAUAUUUGGACUAGUUGAAAAUUUGUAUUUGAUAUUGUGAUAUUUGUGAAUGAGAUAAUUGACCCUAUUGCAUUUUAUUUGCAUUAUGGUUGUGUGAAGGAAAAAAUAAAAAUUGAGAAAAGUGCAUGACAUGGAAAAUGAAGAAAAAUGAAAUAGUAAUGAAAAGUAAAGGUCCAUAUGAGGCGAAUUAAGAAGGGAGAGAGAUCCCUAGGGUGAAAGACCCAAAAAUUUACCCUGAAAAGACUCCGAAUGGGGAGUGUAUUUGGGUAUGAACGCGUAUCAUUCGGUGAAAGCCCAAGAACGACAGUGCAUUGUAUGACUCUGUGUCAUAUAUCCAUAUGCAUUUUAUUUAAUAGUUGAAAAUUGUGGAAUUGUUAUAAUUAUACAAAUUAAAAUAUGUGGGUUGACCAAUGCUGAUGAAAUGUUUCUUUUGUGUUCACUUGGAACUUAGUAAUUCCAAUUAACCUCUUGAGUGUAAGGCACCCUACUGAGCAAUGUGGAAUGUUCACCCAUUUCUUUUUACAUCUUUUUAGAUGCAGAUGUGACUCUUGAUGAUUCACAGGUGGGGCAAGGAGGACUUCAGGAUGCCCCAAGAGAUCUUGGAGCAGCCUAGUGGAUUGUAGUGUAUUUGUUAUGUUGGUUAUUUUGGGACUUGUAUUAGUAAACUUUGAAACUAUAUUUUUGUAAUGAGACUUUAUUUUGAUUAAUUUGCUCAACUGUGAACCCUUAUUUAUAGACUUUAAUGAUUAUUAUUAUAUCUGGUUGCUCUUGAGUAGUGGUUAGUAUGUUGAUAAAUUGGAUUGUUAAUUGGAGGGAGUUCUAGUGUGAUUAUUCGUAGACAAAAAAAAAAAAAUUCAAAGCGUUUUGGUUGACUACUAGUGUGGAUUAGGAGGAAUCCUGGGUUAAACCUUUGACCCGGGGUCAUGAGCCAAAUUUUGGGUCGCCCAGAGUUUUGUGACACUGCAGGUGAGGCAAAUCUUAAAUCAAUGCUUUGUCUAUUCUGCAAGUGAAUUGUACAAUGAACUGCCCUUUGGCAGGUUGAGUAUUUUUUAUGCCAAGGCUAGAAUUUCUAAUGACAACUUUAUCAAGUUGGUCUCUUGGUAUAUAAUGAAUGGGGUUACAAGUAAUUUUCACAGAAUGUUCAUAAUUUAAGCCAGUUGUUAUAAAUGAUGAAUAUAUAGUUAAAUGAACUACUUCCAAUGUGCUGCUCAACUUCAUUUUUUGAUGAUUCAAAUAUGUAAAUGUAAAUCGAUCACACUUGCAUCAUUGUUCAGGUUGCAUUUUCUGAAUACCUAUAAAAAUUAAAAAAUAAUGUAGCUUUUCUAUUUAUGUCUUAAAGUUGGUUAAGAAGAAGAUAGAAUAGCAGUCCAGUGGUAAUAGUUGGAGCAAAAGAUGAUUGACUAUAGAAGACAUUGAUUCGAGUUUGGUGUUCAUGUACACACCUGUAACAGAGAGGGUUCUUAAAGGAGAAGCGCAAUAUAAACAUACAGAUUUUGUAAAAGCAGGUGUGAGGUAGAUGAAAUUUGUGCUACAUAUUCCUAAUAGAUCUGUGGAGUCAUGAUUUUACAGACAUGCUAGCAUGCUAUUGUAACUGUUUCUAAACCUUAUCUGGUUUUAGAAAAUGCAUGAGAUAUCUUUUUGGAAGUGUUCUCUUUGUCAAUGGACCAUAAUCUCCAUUAGUGUUACUGUGUUUCGACUUUUUAUUGAAGAAGUGUACAACAAGUUGACUGUAGCAAUUAGUUCAGUGCUAGCAUUUUCUUCCCAGCAUUACUGGAUCUAAUAAGAACUUUUAUCGGAAUGUGCAAAAUCAUUAGGCUAUAUACAAUAAGCAGCAUUUGAAGUUCUAUAUAUGGUUAUCUGAUGAUUGUUUCAAACCAGAACACCAGAUUAAUCCAGUACUGGUACUCCAUUUUCAAUCGAAAAAUAGGGAUUUCCACCAGAAUUGAAUUAAUUACUUUGUAUUGUGUUUCUUUUAUCUCUAUCUGCUACUUUUGUAUCUGUCAUUGAUCAAUCCAUGUGUGAUAUUCUACAUCCUCUUAUCUAAUGGAAUCAGAAUGAAAUCUGUGUACUGAAAAAAUAAUUCCUUUCCUUUUUUAUUUUUUGGCAGUGGUGCCAAAGAUGUUGCUUAACUGGUUGUCCACUUAGGGUGUUUAGCCUGAACACCGGGAGGUUCAACCCAGAUGUAGCAUCCGCAUUGAAUGCAUGUUUCCAGACGCUACUGAAGUUCAGGGCUUGGUGAGUGUCGUUGUGUGAGGAAAGUGAGACCUCAUCUUCUAGCUGGCAAAAUUCAAUUUGUAAAUGUUAGUCUCAUUGAUGUUGUUCUCAACUACAGUAUGUAGUUUUUGCAAUAUGAUGUGGUUGCAUUUAUUCUUACUUUUGGCUAGCGCUAUUGGCCCCCACCAUAGACCCCUUUUCUCUUAUAGUGAGAAUUGAAUAAAAAGUUCAUUAGUUAUUGUUAAAUAAAAAAUUUAAAAUAAGAUUAAGACUAAUAUAAAAACAAAAUAUAAAAUUCCCACCUGAAAAUAUAAAAUAAUAUUUGAAAAUUCAUCACUCUAUUAAUUCUUAUCUUUUGUUUAUCUAAUCCUUCUUCAACUUCUAUUUCCCUAUUUAAUUUUUUUUAAUUACAAACAAAUUAAAAUUUUGUAGGAUUGUAAUUUAAAUAUUCAACUCGAAUAAUUUAUAUUACUAUAAAGUAAAACUUUUUAAAUUGGUUAACAUGGAAAGGAAAUUAAUAAAAACAUUACUAUUAAACAAAUUAAAUUAAAAAAAAAGAAGUUAAGCCUUAAAAAUUAUGAGAAAUAAAAUUUAGAUUAUGAAUUCAUAAACAAAAAAUAAAAACCAAAAGUUAAGCAAAGAAAUGAAGUUAGGAUAAUAGAUUAUGAAAAAAAAAAUGAAGAUAGUAAAAAGAUGAGUAUAGAGAAAUGUUAUAUUUAAGCUAGAGACUAUAAAAUAAACUUAUUUUCCCAUUUUUAUUUAUUUUUUGAAUAAAAAUGAGCUUCUACUAAGAAUAAUGAAGUUUUUACCUUUAAUUAUAUGUCACAUUUGUUUAAUUUUCUUAAUAAAUCAAUUAGAAAUAGAAAGAGAUCGAUGCAUAAGAAAUUGAUAAAUUAAUAAUGAGAAAUAAAUAUUUUAUUUUUACAUUUUUAAUUUUUAUUGUAUUUUAAUCAUUUUUUAUUUUAUUUACUCAAUUUAAUAAUGAAAAUAGAUUUUAAAAAAUGAGAAAUUUUAUUAAAAAAUUAGUAUAAUCCAAAAUGUCAAAAAUCAGAUUGGAAAAUCAUUUUUAGGCCUCAAAAUUGCUCAAAAUAGACUCAGAAAACAAGCCUCUAACAUAUACAAGGAUGGCCAUCAAAGCAUACAUGCAAUACCCACACUUAAGACAUUUUAAUUAAUUCAAAUUGAAUUUGUUGAUGGUCCCAUCACACGUAGCCCGAUAUUUUCUUUACCUCCAUCUUCAUGCACUCUUUUGUUCAAUCCCCAAAUGCAAUCUUUUUUACUUAUAUCUCGUAGUUUUCUGCUUGUAGGAGAAGGGAAAAGUGUUUAGCCCAAGGGUGGGAGGGUGGACUCUCAUGUCAUAAACCCAUCUCACGAGUUUGGUUUAUUAGAAAUAAAAGAACAUACAUCCCUAGACCACAAAGUUCAUGCGGUUCAAACAUCCACAAUCAACUUCUAUUUCACAUCUCACACCUAAAACUGGCACACAUUCACUAGUCUAUGUUGUAUGCCUAUGCCUAUGCCAAUACAAAGGUAACAUAGGAUUUCAUUUCAGAAACAAAUAAUAAAAUAGGUACACUAAUAUCUUCCUAACUAUACAUGGGGUUUCCGAGAGACAUGGUUAUCGAUUUCACAUUCCUAUAAAGAUCAAAAUUCAGCAAAAAGUUGAAUAGAGGACUAUCAAGCAAUCUCAACACUAUUCCUGUAUCCCGAUCCAAAAUCACAAGUCUUUAAACUCAUAAUAAUAUAGAACAACAUACCCCAUGACACAUUUAUGACUGAUGAUACCACUUAAAUAAGUCUAAAUUUGUUGAGGUUGAUUAGAAGAGUAACCAAGGUGCUACCAUAUAGCCAUGGUUAGCUAUUUGGCUUACUCUGAACACAUUGGACCCUGAUAUUCAUAGUUUUGUUCCCUAUUUGAUGCACACCAUUCAAACCUUCAUUCUCAAUGCCAAUGCAUAUUAAAUCUUUCCUAUCUCAAUUUCUUUUAUUCAUUCCUUACUAGAUCCAAGCUAUUCCGAAGAGUACCAAAAACACUUGUGAGACAUGCAAUACUAGAGGAAGUUUUAGAUAUAAUUAGGAAAUAACACAAAGGAUUUAAGAUCAUAACAUCAUACAUCCUACCAUAAAGGACAACCUCCUUCCCUUUAUUCUUUCAAUUCUUGAGUCUUAUCUAAGGUUCUCUCAUGCAUGAAAAAACAAAUGUCUUCAACUAUAUGUGCUUACCAUGAGUGUCAAUAGAGCUAGUUAAGCCUUGUAGUCCAAUAACUCCUACACAUAGAUAAAAGAACACACAACUUUAGGGAUAGAUGAAUAAGAUAAAAAAAUCUAAGAUAUGUAAAAAUCUAAGAAAGAAUCCAUAUGCAUCUUUUGAUGAUCCCAAAUAAUAUCAUAGACAAAAUUUAUCUUACAACUGCAUUUAAAGAACAAAUAAUAGUGCAAUCAUUCCGUUUAAUCCCCAUAAUGAUUUGGAAAAGAAAUUCCCUACUAUGGUGGAAAAAAAAAGAAUAAAAAAACAAAAUAUUUGAAAGUACUCAUACUUGAAAUAAUUGUAGCAUGUCAAAUUUUUUAAAUGCUACCAUAACAAAAAUUGCAUAAGAAACAUAGUGAUUUAUUUUAUUUCAUUUCAAAUUACAUAAAACUAAACCCAAGUGCAUGAUUUGAUUUUUAUGUACUAGCCAAAACACCUCCUCUAUCUCUCACUACAAAGGAAAAAAAAAAAAAAUUGCUUAUACCAUAAGCUACUCUACCACCAGCAUUUCCAGUGCCUUUGUUGAGCUCAUAUCCCCAAGAAAAAAUAUAGAAAAGAAACUGUUAUUGCAUGGUAAGAAAGCAAAGAGAUGCUCAAAGCUAAAAUAAAAAUAAAAAUAAGAAAAAUAGGAACACAUAUGUCCAUACUCUAACAAAUUCAAGCCAUUCCCACUUGGGCUAUAUCAGGAGUUACUUUUCCUAACAAUAAAAUUAAACAUACUAAACCAGCCAAGUAUUCUCUUCUAACCGAGUGGUAGUGGUGAUUGGUAAGCAUAUACCAAGGAACCAAUCAACCCUGAUACCAUGGCCUGAAAAACUUAAUAAAGCUCCAGAAACUACAUAUGUGGCUUUUGGAGAUCAUAGUAGAAGCCCAAAAGGGAGUCAGAAUAACUUUAAACCAUAACUCUUAGAACCUGCCUUUGCAAUCACUCACAUCAUAUAUAAUUGUGAUAUCGACACCACCUACUAUUCUGUGAAGAAGCUUUCAGUUCUAAUAAAAUAAAGGCCCAUUUUACCCCUAAUCUGAAGAUGAACUUGGUUAAAAAUUUGAAGUGAGGAUGAAAUGGAUAUUUAAGUUCUCACACAGAUGUCAACCAUGAAAUGGAGAAACUGAAAAUUUUUCAGUUUGCUUUUUUAGGCAGGCUAGGUGUUGAAUCUCAGCUAUAUUUCAUAAAUCUCACAACAGGUUUCUAUUAUUUAACUUAGAAUCACCCAAUCUAGUGUAGUAUAUUAGUACAUCCUUGUAAAAAUGAGGUAACUUCUCCCUAUUGACUCAUGUUAAGGCAUGGUUGUAAAACAAAAUUGAUUCUAUGUUCAAAGCAUUUCGCCAUCAAACAGUCAUCCAUACUACAAAAUAAGAUUUGCAUUCCUGAAUUGAGUCCACCCAAAUUUUUUUCUCUAAAAUUCAUCCUGCACAACUUGUAUUAGAUUAAUAAAAAUAGUCAUCCUGCAUAGCACCCAUCACAAAAAUGAAAUAAUAUUGUGCACAAAAUGAUGGAAUAAAUAUACAUAUGUUUGUCCAAUCUCUGUAAGAUGGAACUUGUUCCAGCAAAAUAUAAAUUAACAUUUGUCAUAAGCUAGGACUGGAGUGUUCAUUCUUAUCCAUUAUUAAUCCACAGUGCAUAGAAUAGCAAUAGCACAAAAUGGAAACACCUGAAAAAUGAGCUUCAUAGAUAGAAGUUUUAUAGCUUACCCUUUCCAAGAUCAUCAGGAUCAAUGUGGACAACAACAACCCUUUCAACAAUGGAGUUUGAUCCAGUGAAAGGAAUCUUUAAGGAAAGAAAAAUUCAAUUUUUAGAUAACAAGAACUAAAUUUCAACCUAGAUGGUCUUCAGGUAUGAGAAAAAGAAUAAAAAGAAAAACAAGAAGUAGAGGUAAAAAUAACCUACCUGCUUGUCAACAAUUUUGAAAUUAAUAGUACCUAAAAAAUGGCAAUGUUAGGGCCAAUAAUAAUGCUUCUAAUGGUAUUCUAUCAAUAGUUAAUUACGACAAAAGUACAUAGUACAUACCAUCCUCACCAACAAUGACAUUUCCUAAAUCACCAACAUGACUAUUCUUGUCUUCAAGAGCACCAUGAUCUUUUCUAGAAGGAUUGAAAUAAGGUCCUAUAAAUAAUAAAUAAAUAAAUGAUCAAAUACUUAAGCUAAAAAGAAUUAUGGAGAAAAUCUAAGAAAGUAAGUCUGACCUAAUGACAAAGGAUGUAAAAAAUGAAGUAACCAAUAAUUAAACAAUACUAGUUGACAUGCAACCAUUUGUCAUGUCCCCAAGGGCAUGCACAUGGAAGCCAUGAAGUCCAAGCUUAAGGCAAGAAAGACUCCCAAUCACUAUAGUUGUCCUAGCUAUAUCACACUAUCAUCCAAAGGUGAAUUUUUUGCUGCAACUUCAUGUGUUUGUCAAGAUAUUUGAUUGAAGAUAAUUCUUAAAGAGCUUUGUUUCAAGCAACCAGAACCCACUCCAAUUUAUUUUGAUAGCAGCUCAACAAUUAAACUCUCCAAGAAUCUUGUUCUACAUUAAAGAAGCAAACACAUAAAUGUGAAGUAUCACUUUUUAUGGGGCCUCACUAAGGAUGGAAUGAUUGAUCUUAUUUACUACAAAAGUGAAGAUCAAGUCGCUGACAUGUGUACCAAGUCCCUCAAAUCGCUCACAUUUCAGAAGUUAAGAAAAUUGCUUGUUGUUUGCACAUUGGAUAAUCGAAUUUAUGUGCGGGUGCUUUGAGGCUUACUCUUAUUAAACUAACUAUUCUGACAAAAAACAUUAGUGUAAGGGAGGGAUUGUUGAAUAAAAAUGCAAAGAGUCAAAGUAAAAUAUGGAGUCCUUAGUGGUAUGUUUCAUUUGCCCUGGCCUCUAAGAAAUGGUUAAUGAGGAGCUAGUCCUUAGUAGCUCCACGUAAGUAGUGGUAGUAGGGUGUUAUUUUCUAAUGUUUAGCAGGUUGUUUCCUUAUUUUUAGCCUAAGAGUCAUUUGUAACUUUGCCUAUAUACUCUUCAUGUGAAUAAAAAGGGCUUCCUACAUUCCACCUUACCAUUUCUAACACUCUAUUGCGAAAUAAUCAAAUAAAUAGGAAAAUGAUAAGUCCAAAUCUGGAUAAUUGAAUACCUAUAAUGAAAUCUAAGCCAUUGAACGAGGGUACAAACAAAUUGGACCAAGGUACAAGGGUAACAUGCCAAAAUGUGGUAUUUUAUCAUUAUUUUGCCUGAUUUAUUGUGGAUAUUUCACUGCCACAUCGGCAUUUAUUUUCUUCAAAAUUUUAAGGCCUUUGGAGUCUAUGCUGUCCAUACUCAACCCAUGGUUUGCUUGUGAUGAUGGCUUGGGGCAUUGUUUAUUGAAUGCACCAUACUUUUUUCUUAAAAUUUUGAUGUGGGAUUGCUCCUUUUAAACCAAUAAAAAAGUUCAUUGAAGCUCACCCACAAGGCUAUAGGUCAUACCUUGGUGCUUAAGCAUGGGAUGAGAUUCCACUAAAAGAAAGGCCUUUUUUUUGUUAGAUCUGCACAUUUAACUAUAUAUGAUAUUAUUAAUUACAAAUAAGUUAAUUUUAAUUUUUUUUAUAUAAUAGUUAGAUAUAUAAUAGAUGUGAAUUUAUAUUAUGGGUGAUAAGGCAUUGCUUCAUGUUGAUAGUGAAUUUGUAACAAUUUAUCAAUUAAUAUGGAGUUAAGUACUCUUUCUAACUGAAUUUUUGGUAUUAGCAUUUACAAAAUAAAUUUCUUCUUCUGAAAUUUUGGUUUUAAUAUUUCUAUUUAAAUCUAUUGGGAAAUUUGUUUUGUAAAUAUUUCUUGAGCAGUCUUGAGUACACUUGGGAGGUUUUCUCACUACAAAAUGUUCGAUAAUUGCAUCAGUCCAGUUGAUAUUUUGUAAGGAAAAUCCAUAAAGUUUCAAAAUAGGGAGAAGUAUAAAAAAAAGUCAAAAAUACCUUUCACAAUGGCUAUUUUUUUUUUUCCUUUUUUCACAAAAUAGACUUUCUUAUAAAAUAGGAAAUGCAAUUACAAUUUUUCCUUUUAUUGUUAAGCCUGUUCAGCCAAUAAUAAACCUGUGACACAGAUUUUCCUAACCGAAGUUUUUAAAAAUUCACUAUAAAGGGGCCUUUUUAUUAGACAUUACCUAUUUGUAUUAGCCCUUAACUGCAUUUGGAAAGGAAAAGGAAUUGUGAAAAUUUGAAUUCUAUUGUUAAUCAGUCCUUGGUCUCCAAUAGUUUAGUUGUUUGUGAUUUUAUUGUCUUCAAGAGACCAGUUGGAGGGGUUCUAGUUUAGUUGUUUGUGAUUUUAUUGUCUUCAAGAGACCAGUUGGAGGGGUUCUUGGAGGGGGUUGAAAUUGAACCACUCUACUUUAGAUGCAAUGUAUAAAGAAGUUUGUAAUUCCUAGUAGAUUUAUAAAUACUUUUUGUUUUGACUUGGAAAUGAGAUAUUCUUUUGUUGGUAGAUUUAUAGAGAGGUUUUGACUCGAGAUUAAUGUAAAUGACAAGAUUUAAUAAUAUAUUAGUUUGAAUUCUCCAGCUUUAAUGGACAUGCCCUAUCAAACUUGAAGCUAUGGUAGAAGCUCUCUUUAGUAUAUACAAGGUAUAUGAAAGUUUACUGGUUUUCUGUGCUAUUCUUGUCUCAGAUUUUUGUUAUAAAUCUUAUUAUUCCUUCAGAACUAUUCUUUAGUUCCAUUAUUUUCAUUAUGCUCAACUAUUUACUUAAGUCAUUGUCAUCUUUUUACACUUGUUUUUCUCACUUAAGUCAUUGUCUUCUCUGUACGCUUGUUUUUAUCACCUCAUUAGUCAUUGUUGUUCCUUUGCUUGAUCCUUCAAUGCGUGCAACAACUUUAGCACCAUCGGACAUAUUAACAUCUUUUGAUCUUUUAUUUUUUAAAUUUAUUUUAUUACUAUAUUUUAUUCUAAUGUUCAAACACCGUCAAACAUGUUCCUUUUCUUGGGCCAAAGUUGCUUCUCUGUAUAUUUUUAUAUAUGGUUAUGCAUCCCAUGUUUUGGGUUGAUUUCUUGGGAGAACCAGGCCAGUUAUUGGAAGAGGAUGCACAAGUAUAGGCUGUAAGCAUUUUCCCUCUCUCUCUCUCUAGUGACUUAUCAUUCUAGAACACACUUCUCUGUCGUCGCAUCAUGGGACAUAUCAAUUUAUUAUGACUUAUGAAUUGGCCUGUCAUGGUGGCAUUACCUUUGUAGCAAACCAAGUGUGCAAUACUUACAUCAUUCUACAAUGAACACCAUCAAAACUCAAGUGAUAUUUAUCACCAUUUGGAGAUGUUAUGCAUUUAGGUGAGAAGUAGGUCUGUGCACAGAAUUUCCUAGGUAUUUUGAUGAUGCUAAGCCUAAAAUAUAUCUUCUUGUUUCUCCUAUUCUUGACUGGACUCAUCAUGAAAACUUGAAACACUAAAAAAUAAACUACAAAAUUCAACAUUUUGCCCAAUGGACAAAGUUAGAUGAUUUAUAAGAGUGAUCGAUCUUCACAUCCUUGAAGGUCAUUUAUAUGUGAUGAUAAAAGAGUAAGAUUAUGAGAGCUGAGAGGUGCAUAGUUUGUCUAUUAGAAGUGGUCAAAUAGAAAGAAGACUUUCACACUAAAUUUGAACAUCUGUGGAAGCUAAGGAAAUUGUUGAUCAUGCCUUCAAAUUCAAUAUAUGGCUCAAACUUUGCUUGUUUGCUUAAUAGGAUAUAUUUUAUGUUAGUGUGGAUUUCAAAAUCCACUGCAUAAGAUUAAAAGAAAAAAAAAUUGAAUGAUUGAAAUCCUUAUCAAUUUUAAAGACACAUAUGGCAUGGCAAGAAAGAAUGUUAAGCAUAACAUAGACAUAUAUAUAAAAUCGAAAAUAAAUUCAAAUACAUGCUCAUAUACAUACAUCAAACAACAAAAAUCAAAUCAAUCCAAAGAACAUAAAAUAUAUACGAAAGAAACAAAGGAUGAAAGUACAUUCCUUAUUAGUAUAUAAGCAAGCACUCCCCCAAAAGAAAUUGUUAGUUUAACAAGGUAAUAAAUCAAGGAGUUACAUAUAUACAAGGCAUCAUGGGGAACAAAGAAUGAAUUAGAAGAAAAGAAACAAAUUCUAAGUGAUGAGGCAUGCAUAAAAGAUUGACUAAAUUAUGAUAUAUAUUCAGCAAAACAAGACAGCAUAUAAGAGUCUUCUAAAUAAAUCUAAAACAAAUACUAAACAUGCUCAUUUCAUCAUGAUAAAAAUUAGGUAUGACCUUUAAUAAGUAUACAUCAAAUUCCAAAAGGCCAAAUCAAUUAUUCCCAAACCAAUUGAUGCCAAAAAAUUACACAAGUUAAUCAAUACACAGUGAGUUUAGCUAAAAUUGAGGAAUAACUGCAAGGAGUCUAGUUUCUAGCCUAAUUGGACAAAUUCACAAAUCAUAUGUCAAAUAAUACCAACAUUCAAAACAAUCAAAUUGGUUCAAAACAGGGUCAGUGCACAGGUCAUGCAAAAAUGAAUUUUUUUAGCCUACUUAGGGUUGCCCAAAAUUCGAGCCAAAAUUCAUACACAAUAUUGAAAAUGUUUAUUUCAAAGGGAAAAUGACACUAAGGCGUGAUCACACAUCUAACAUAUUUAAAAUCAAUUUAGCAUUCAGAAUGUCCAAAAUAGAGCUUGUGUACAAGGUAACUAAAGACAAAAUUAUAUCUUAUGUUAGGAAAAAAUAUAAUCAUGUAUUAAACAAGUCAUCUUCUAAUUUAAAUUCACAGAUCAAUCUCAAGGAUAUAGAAUAAAGCAUUGAAAUAAGCUAUUACUUAAAAAAUAAGAUUUCAAAACUUGAAAAUGAACAUGUUAAGAGUUACCACUUCCCAAUUUUAUUUGAAUGAAAAUUUCCAUGUCCAAAUUUCAUUCCCAUGAAAGGUCACAAAUUCAUUUUGAAAACAAAUUUGAAAUGCAUACCAAUUCAAAAAAAAAAAAAAAAGGUAGCAUUGAUGUUUUUGAAAACUCAUUUUGAACCUAUGGAAGUAAGAGGAUAUUAGAAAUGAGAACGACCAUUUUUGAGAACCUUAAAAUCAUUUUUGAAAGUCUUGAAAACAUAUUUUACAAACACACAACCAAACAAGGGAAUCCAAAUAAAUAAAGAACACCUAUUCAAGCUAAAUAUCUGCAUUUGUGUGUGUGAAAUGUGAAGAUCAACAUGCAGUUGUACCUACCUUUGCUAGUAACCUAAACAUGCAUCAAAGAUCAAUUUAAAGACCCUAAACAUGUUACUAAAUCAUCAAGCAAUCAAUGAUAACAAAAAAUUCACAAUUAAUAUCAAAUUUAUUCACAAGUGGGUUACUUCGCAAGUGAUUAGAACAGAAGACUCUACAAGUCGAAUUUGAAAAAAAUAUCUAGAAGUCAAAUUUUAUCAUGAAAAAUUUCAAAGAAUAUCUCCUAUAUGUCUAAUUUAUCAUCCAAGUGGCCAAACUAAUUAAUUAAAUCUCAUUUAGUACCAGAUUUCACAAGAAGCAUAAUAGGUCUAGAAUAGAGUAAUUUUCCAUAGCAUGUGAGAAUUAAUUUUUUAAUUAACUUAGAAUUGUCCUAAAACCCUAAAAAAAAAUUCAUAAAACUCAUUAAUAUUCUAAUUUAUAUGAAAAAUAAUCACAGGGUAAGAUCACAUGCAUAACAUAUUUAAAAUUAAAUUAACAUCUUGAAGCUCUAGAAGAAGACCUAUGCAGUAGGUGCAAGAAGAAAAAAAUCAUAUCUCUCAUUUUAAUAAUUAUUUAUUAAUAUUUAAUAUGUCAAAAAUUGAAUUAAAGAAGUCUAUAUUAAGUAAAAAAUAUCUAAAUAUUGAUGGUGAGGCCCUGGCUGACCCUUCGAAAAAAAUCCCCUUGAGCUUAUUGAAUGGGCUGAUCUACCCAGAACCACAAAUCCCUAAGAGGGGAUAUGCAACCACUAAGCCUUGAGAGGAGGACGGCCUGAGCAAGCAACCAAUCCUGCAUAAGCUCGGACCAAAAGGUAUUGUCUAGGAGACACCAAUCGGCCAUGGACCAAACGAAUGGAUUCUCGUGCGAGGCCAUCGAGAAAGCACUACUCGAAACCACCACAUGUCUUCUUGAUGACAUGUUGUCAACACCUUUGGCUCCCCAAAUCAUGCAACAAAGGCAUCCCCCAAGAUUCACAGUGCCCAAAUUCACCAUUUAUGAUGGCACCACAGACCUUUUCGACCACCUCAUGCACUAUUGCCAGGUAAUGGCCCUAGACAUAGGAGAUUAUGUGCUUCAAUGCAAAGUAUUCCCGGUGAUUACUACUCAAAGAGUGCUAUUUUAUAGCUUGUAAUUAACUCUUUUAAACACUUUUGAGUAGUAGUUAUUACCUUUUAACUCAAUUAGCAUAUUAAGUACUUUUGCAAUCAUUUCUAAUCAAAUUGUGUUAAGUUUUGGUGUUUUUUAUAGUAUUUUGAUCACCAAAGCAAUCCAAGAUUGAGGAGAGUUCUAUAGAAUCCUUGGCAAAGCAAUUGGAAACUCAUUUACAUGAAGAAUCCAAGCUUUGGAUCUUUAUAAUCCUUUGCCAAAGGCAAAUCAUGAAUGCAAGGAGGGAAAGCAAAGAGAGAAAUCUAACAUGAAGAAUUCAAGAGGAUAGCAACUGUUGGACACAUUUAGAGCACUUCCUAGAGUCCAUUUCAUGCAUACUAUAUGUAUUUUUGAAGCUCGGGAAGUCAAGAAUCCAACGCUUUAAAUAGUGUGUAAAUCGGAGUUGAAAUGAAAAAGUUAUAGCCAUUAGAAGCCAAUCACACCAAGCUAAAGGCCAAUUUCGCAGCUGCGAAAUCACAAGGUGCUUGCUGCGAAAUCAGCCUUUGGCUGCGAAAUGGAGACCUUCAGCUUGCGAAAUUUCUCAGCCCAUCUUGCAUGCCUGCGAAAUCCACCUGAGUGCUUCAAGAUAUUUGCGAUCGAUUCUUUUAGAUUUUUUUCUUCAGAUAUUUGUUGUUUAAAUCCCCAUUUUCUCCUUGUAAUCCACAAAUCAUAGGAUUCCUUAGUUAAUAAGUAAGAACAAAGGGUGAAUAACCUCAUAUAUAUAGUUUGUAAUUUUCUUUACACAGACAUCUCGGGAGCUUGUUCUCAGAGACAACUUUUUGUUUAGUUUUGAAGGAAGUAAUAUACAGAGCUUUGCUUUGCCUUACCUACUCACUUUGAUUGUAUUUUUUUUACUAGCCAAACAAGCUCCGAGGAUGUUUCCUCAGAGAAUGAGUGGCUAGGCUUUUUGUCUCUUGGAGCUAAGGUAGCUAGGUAAGGUGUCGAAUGCAAGAAUUGGAAGUUUUGUUGUUUCAGCCUUUAAUGAAGAGAAAGUGUGACCCGUUAAUGGUUUCUAUGUUUUUAGUUAACUUAAAACGCCUUUAAAUCACCUGGGCCAACACUUGGUAAGGCAAGUGAUCUCCGUCCAUUGAGAUGCACUAGUUUAUCUCUUGCGAGCCUUUGGGAGGUGAUUUGAAGGUAGGAUUUUCUAGAAUAGCCAACACUUAGUAAGAUUUUGGACUCCAAGGAGACAUCCAUUAGUUAUCUCUUGCAAACUUGUGAAUGGAAAUCCAAGGUUAAUGAUCACCUUGAGUGGUAACUGCUAGGUGAGAAGCACGAGCCAUUGCAAAAUGAAUCAGUGAGAGGGAUUUAGUGUUUCAAUCCAUAAAAAGGAAGCAUCUGUACCACACCGGUUAGAGAAAUAACUAUAUGUUAAUUCUCCAAUGUAAGGAAAAAGAUUCAAGUGACCGGAACUCUAUUUUUGUAUUAGGAGUCUGACCUUAGUGAUCCUAAAACUCCAAGAAACACUUUUCUUUAUAAGUAAUUUCCGUUACAUUAUUUUUAGUUAGCUUAAAACCAAUCCUUUUUAAACCAAAGUUUAUGUUUUCUUUUGAAGUUAACCUUGAAACGAAAAAGCAUCAAUUCAACUUUGAAUUAUUAUUAGUUGUAAGUUGAAAACCCUUCCCAGUGAACGAUCUUAGAGCCACUAUGCUAUACUAGCUGAGUCUAUCCUAGCACAUGGUGUAAUAGGUUAUAAAUUUUGUUGAUUACUCCUGUCUGAGGACCAAAAUCAAGGUACACCAGUUGGGCACGGAAUCACCCGGCUAGCCUACACGUGCCAACCCUCACUUAGUUCCAUCGAUUCCUGGCCAAUUCAAUCAAUGACUUCCGAGAGCUGUCAGAGGUGUUCGUGGCACACCAUUUAUGCUCUGCCAGACAGAAGCAUGGCCUCAAUAGCCUGAGCAACUUGAAAAUGAUGGAGUUAGAAUCCCUAUGGGAUCCUAUGUGAAGAUUAGGGCAAGCCUUGAUCCAAAUGGAGCCCUGCAACAUUGAUGCGAUCAUGCAAGCCUUCAAACGGAGUAUCAUCCCGAGGACCCCAUUCUUCGAAUCUAUAUCAAAGAAGCCACCAAAGACAAUUGACAACUUUUUCUAGAGAGCCAACAAGUACACCAUGUUAGAGGACAAUCUUAGAGCGGCAUCCCAACAGAUAGUUGGGACUUCUUAGACGAUUGUUCCCCAACCAAGCGAUCAUACUCGACCCACCGAAGGACUUUAUUAGUAAGGGGGCAGAAGAAAGCAAUUGCAAGAGACACUUAAAGCCCAACAUAGGGAAAACAGGUCUCACUCCAAUUCAUGAAGCUCACUCUCAGUUAUGACCAACCAUUGCCGAUAAUUCAGAAUCUAGAUGGCUUCUGCUAGUUGAACCCUAUGUGAGGGGAUGCAAGUCAAAGGAAUCCAAAUUGUUUUUACAAACACCAUAAGGACAAGGGCCAUGCUACCAAGGAGUGUCGCCACCUCCAUUACUUACUCGAACGGAUGGUGCGAGCUAGACAACUUAGCCAAUAUCUCUACAACCGAACAUAACCUUCCCCAACUCGCCAAGUUGCUCUAUCUUUGGAACCGACACCAAAGUUGGACAAGUAAUCCAUGUCAUACACGGGAGAUCGAUCGAUAGAUAAUGAAAAAGCAAACAACAUGCCAAGAUGUUGAUAAAAGAUGUAGAACGAGUAGCCCAAGUUUGCAAUGUGGGAAGCACAUUUGUUGUCGGAAGCUUGGUCAUGGUGGAUGGAACCAUUGUAUUUUUUGAAGUAGACUUACUUUGAGUCACUUAGCCACAUGAAAAAGCCCUCAUCUUAAUGUUGAAUAUUGAUCGACCAAGGGAGUUUUGUGGACCUCCUACAUAUAUCUACUUACAAACAGAUGAACCUUUCAAUUAAUGUGUUGGAAAGUCCAGGGAGAGUGCUGACAGGUUUUAACGGUUCAACCACAAUUUCCCUCAACAAGAUCGUACUUCCUCUCUCCACAGAACCCAUCAUUGUGAUUGUGAAAUUUUCGGUCGUAGAGGACCCUUCUCCAUACAAUGCAAUCCUCGGUAGAGCCUGGAUCCAGGACAUGAAAGCCAUACCAUCGAUGUACCACUAAAAAGUGAGCUGCCUGAUGGUGCAAGAUCAAAUAAACAUUUACGAAGAUCAGAUGACAUCAUGACGAUGCUAUCAAGUGACAAUGCUAUCAAGUGACAAUGCUUCCAGCUCCCGUUAUAGGUGAGAGAAAAGGGGGCUCUGAGGGAAAGAAAUAACAACUAUUAAAGGACUCCCGCCUAGAAUUGGACAAGUGGGAGUUCUCGGCUGCUGAGCCGUUAACGACCAUCAAUCAUUUUGAUGACAACUUCUAUCGAAAAGUGUUUUUGGUGGAGAUGCUGUCGAAAAAGGAAAAGAAAAAGUUCAUUAAGAUACUAAGGCAAAACAUGGAUGUCUUCGUAUGGAAACACUUCGAUGUAAAGGGGAUUCACCCCUCAGUAGCUUGCCACCACUUGAACGUGAAAUAAGAAUGGCACCCGAUUAGACAAAAAUUACGAAAAUUCCAUGAAGAAUGACAUAAGAUCAUCACUGAAGAGGUAGACCAAUUGCUUGAAUCUAGAUUCAUCCAGGAGGUACAGUACCCGGAAUGUUUGGCUAACAUUGUUGUGGUCCUGAAGAAAAGCAGAAAAUGGCAUGUGUGUGUCGACUUCACUGAUCUUAUCGAAGCUUGCCCAAAAGACAGUAUUUCUCUCCCUCGGAUAAACCAAAUAGCUGAUGCCAUGGUAGGCCAUGAGCUUCUCUCCUUUUUGGACGCCUUUUUCGGGUACAAUCAAAUAGCAAUGUACCCGCUAGAUGCGGAGAAGAUGACCUUCAUUCCUAGCUAAGGCCUAUUAUGUUAUGACAUAAUGUCAUUUGGCCUCAAGAAUGCAGGGGCAACUUAUUAGCAAUUGGUGACGGAGACAUUUUGACCCUUUUUGGGAAGAAACAUAGAAGUUUACAUCGAUGACAUGUCGAUCAAGAGUAAGCUGAGGUAGAACAACCUUGAGGACCUUGUAGAAGCUUUCGCCCUACUUCGUAGAUUUGGCAUGAUGCUGAAUCCGGAAAAGUGUGCAUUCAGAGUGCAAAAGGGUAAAUUUCCUAGCUACCUAGUGAUGAAAUGUGAGAUAGAAGCUAGCCUAGAGCAAAUCAAAGCCCUACACGAAAUGGUACUGACCACAACGGUCAAAUAGGUCUAAUGGCUAAUGGGAAAAUUAGCGGCCCUCGGUCAGUUCAUCUCAUGGUCUUCUGACAAGCUGUAACCUUUCUUCGAGGUUCUUAGGAAAAGAAAGAAGUUUGAGUGGGAUGAGCAGGGUGACUGGGUCUUCGCUACUAUCAAAAUCUAUCUAGCUUCCUUUCCUAUCCUCAACCAACCACAUGAAGGUGAAAGAUUGUACAUAUACUUAGCGGCCAUAAGUGUGGCGGUGAGUUAUGCCCUAGUUCAAACUGAUGAACAAGGUGCCCAACAGCCGAUAUACUUCAUAAUCAAAACUCUCCUAGACUCAGAGACCCGAUACUCUAGCUCGAGAAGGUGGCUCUAGUACUACACACUAUGGCUAAGAAGCUCAAGCCAUAUUUCCAAGAGCAUGCCAUCGUCGUCCUUAUGGAAUGGUCUAUGCGUGUUGUCUUACACAAGUCGAAACUCUUCGGUCGGCUGGUCAAGUGGGCCAUCGAGUUAGGCGAGUUCGAGAUUGAGUAUAGGCUGCAAUAAAGCCUCAAAGGCCAAGUAUUAGCAAACUUCAUUAGAAACAACAAGAAUGGUGAGACAUGGAUUAUAUAUGUAGACGAUUCUUAAAAAAAGAAAGAAGUCGAAGUUGGAGUCAUCCUCAUGUCCCCUACUGGAGACGAGCUAGAGUAAUCCAUCAAAUUAGGUUUCCUAACAUUUAACAACGAGGUUGAAUAAGAAGCAAUGCUCAUAGGCCUAAGAAUGGUCCACCAACUACAGGUAAGGAACGUCGAUGUUCAUAGUGACUUCUAGCUCGUCAUCAACCAAGUAGAAGGACACUACGAAGCACGCGAUGAAAAAUGGCCAGAUACCUAAAUGCCGUAAAGAGGAAGGCUUACUGGUUUGAUUUUGUAAGCUUCACAUUGGUUCCCAAAGAUAAAAAUGAUCAAGUUGAUGCCCUCACUAACCUAGGUUCCUCUUCCCUAAGUAAGCAGAGUUGGGUGCUUCCGAUCGAAUUUUUAGAAAAAUCCUCUUUUAUAGAGACGAAGAAACUGAUGAAUAGACUCGACACCCCUACUAGUUCCUAGAUGAACCUGUAUGUCAAAUACCUAAAAGAUGGUGCGCUCUCAAAAGAUGAAAAAGAAGCCUAUAGGCUCCGAGUAAAGGCCACACACUUAUGCCUAAUCAAUGAUCACUUAUAUAGGUGCUCUUACGGGGACCCAUAUCUUAAGUGUGUACAAAAUGAUAAAGUUGAAUACUUGCUUGCCGAAGUCCAUGAAGGACAGUGCAGUAACCAUAGCGGGAGACGAUCCUUAGCUCAUAAGAUACUGUCCUAAGGAUACUAUUGGCCAACAAUCCACAAAGAUGCUACCACGCAUGUUCAAAAAUGCAACAAGUGUCAACACUACGCACCCAAAUGUGACCUCCUAGCCGAACAACUUACACCCAUUAUAAGCCCCUGGCUAUUCGUGCAAUGAGGACUUGACAUUGUUGAACUGCUAUCUAUGGCACCCGCUCUGAAACGUUUCCUCUUGGCAACUGAUUACUACUCAAAAAGUGUUAUUUCAUAGCUUGUAAUUAACUCUUUUAAAAAAUUUUGAGUAGUAGCUAUUACCUUUUAACUCAAUUGGCAUGUUAAGGACCCUUGCAAUCGUUUCUAAUCAAAUUGUGUUAAGUUUUGGUGUUUUUGAUAGCUUUUUUAUCACCAAAGCAAUCUAAGAUGAGGGAGAGCUUUAUAUAAUCCAUGGCAAAGAAAAUGGAAGCUAAUUUACAAGAAGAAUCCAAGAUUUGCAGCUUUGUAAUCCUUUUCCAAAAGCAAAUCAUGAAUGCAAGGAGGGAAAGCAAAGAGAGAAAUCUAACAUGAAGAAUUCAAGAGGACAGCAACUGUUGGACACAUUUCGAGUACUUCCUGGAUUCCAUUUCAUGCAUACUAUAUGUCGUUUUGAAUCUUGGGAAGUCAGGAGUCCAACGCUUUAAACGGUGCAUGAAUUGGAGUUGAAAUGAAGAAGUUAUGGUCGUUUGAAGACAACUGCACAAAGCUGAGCGGAAAUUUCGCAAUUGAGCCCCUAUUUCGCAGGUGGUUUCGCAGCUGCGAAACCACCCCUUGGCACACAAGUGCCAUUUCGCAGCCCUCCACCCUCAUUUCGCAGCUGUGAAAUGGGUUACAAAAACGCUUCUCCUCUGCGAAAUCGACCCCUAGCUACGAAUCACGUUGCGAAAUCACCUCCAAGCUAUGAAUCAAGUUGCAAAUCAUCUUCAAGUUGCGGAAUCACCUCCAAGUUGUGAAAUCAUAAAUUCAACUUGAAAAAUCAAAGUUCAAACUUGGAAAAUGGACAAUUCAACGUGCGAAAUCCACCUGUGCAAUCUCAAAUAUUUGCUACCGACUAAGUUAGAUUUUUUCUCAAGAUAUUUUGUGUAAAUUUCUAUUUUCUCCUUGUAAUCAGUCAAAGAUAUUAUUGGGAUAUUUCUUAGAAAAUAUCUUCUCUAUAUAUAUCUUUGAACCAAUGUAAUGGAAAAAAUCUUGUAAUAUAUGUAAUCCGAUGAGAGGAAGAAAUAUAUUUUACAGAGCACUUGCUCUGUUUUUCCUUCAUAUUUUUUUCUCUCGUUAUUUUUAUUUCUAGCCAAACAAACUCUGAGGAUGUUUCCUCAGAGGAUGAGUGGCUAGGCUCUUUGUCUCUUGGAGUGAAGAAAGCCGGGUAAGUUUCCACAUGCAUAAAUUGGAAGUUUUGUUGUUUCAGUUUUUAAUGAAAAGAAAGUGUGACUCGUUAAUGGUUUUUAUCUUUUUAGUUAACUUAAAACGCCUUGAAAUCACCUGGGCCAACACUUGGUAAGGCAAGUGGUCUCCAUCCAUUGAGAUACACUAGUUUAUCUUUUGCGAGCCUUUGGGAGGUGGUUUAAAGGUAGGAUUUUCAAGAAUAGCCAACACUUGGUAAGCUUUUGGACUCCAAGGAGACAUCCAUUAGUUAUCUCUUGCGAGCUUUUGAUGGGUAAUCCAAGGUUAAAGAUCACCUUGAAUGGCAAAUGCUGGGUGAGAGGUAUGAGCCAUUGCAAGAUGCAUCAGUGAGAGGGAUUUAGCGUUUGAACCCAUUAAGGGGAAGUAUCUGUACCACACCGGUUCGGGAAAUAACUAUAUGUUAAAUCCCUAAUGCGAGGAAAAGAAACAAGUGACCAGAACUCUCUUUUUGUAUUAGGAACCUGAGUCUAGUGAUAUGAAACUCUAAGAAACACUUUUCUUUGUAAUUAAAAUUAUUUACUAUUUUUGUUAGCUUAAAACCAACCUUUUCAAACAUCUUUAUGUUUUCUUUUAAAGCUAACCUUAAAAUGAAAAAGCACCAAUUCAUCUUUAAAUUGAUAUCAAUUGUGAAGUGAAAAACCCAUCCCAGUGAAUGAUCUUAGAGCCACUAUGCCAUGCUAGCUGAGGUUAUCCUAGUACAUGGUGUAAUAGGUUAUAAAUUUUGUUGAUUACUCCCUUCUAAGGACCAAAAUCAAGGGAUACCAGCUGGACACAAAUCAAAUGGCACCGUUGUUGGGGACCAUUGAGAGAACAUGAAUCAGCUGAUACACCAAUUGGGAACGAAUCAGUAGCCAUAGACUAUUUCUCAAAAUGGGUUGAUGUUGAGGCUUAUGACACCAUCAAAGACAUUAACGUACGAAACUUCGUGUGGCAAACAAUUGUUUGCCGAUUCAGCAUCCUUAGAGCACUAGUAUUUGAAACUGGCAUCCAGUUUAACAAUCACAUUUUUCUCUAGUUUUGCAUCAACCUCAAUAUUAGGAAAUUCUACUCUACACCAUGCUUUCUACAAAGAAACCACCAAGUUGAAGCUAUUAACAAAACCAUACUAGACUGUCUAAAAAAACGGUUGAAGAAAGUCGAAAGAAAGUGGGUUGAGGAGCUCCCGGGUGUCUUAUAGGCUUACUAGUCAACUCAAAGGAGGCCAAUUGAAGAAUCUUCAUUUUCUCUUGCCUUUAGAAUGGAGGUCAUCAUACCAACUGAAAUUGGUCUACCCAUAGAAUGUAUAAUUUUAGUAAACGUAAAUGCCCAUUUAGCUUUAAUCAAGCUUUCUUUGGACUUAGUUGACAAAAGAUGGGAUGGGACGGCCAUACGGAUGGUUGCUUACCACCAAUGGGUCAUGACAUAAUACAACAAAAGGGUUCGGUGUUGAAGAUUUCAUAUUGGGAAUCUCAUCUUUCGACGUGUUUUUGAAAAUAUGAAAGAGCUAGGAUAUGGCAAACUUGACUCUAACUGGAAAGGCCCCUAUUGGGUAACACGCGUUGGGUCGAGGUUGAGGCUUAUGACACCAUCAAGGACAUUGACGUACGAAACUUCGUGUGGCAAACAAUUGUUUGCCGAUUUAGCAUCCCUAGAGCACUUGUAUCUGAAACUGGCGUCCAGUUUGACAAUCGUAUUUUUCUCUAGUUUUGCAUCGACCUCAAUAUCAAGAACUUCUACUCUACACCAUGCUUUCCACAAAGAAACCACUAAGUUGAAGCUAUUAACAAAACCAUACUAGACUGUCUGAAAAAAACGGUUGGAGAAAGUCGAAGGAAAGUGGGUCGAGGAGCUCCCGGGUGUCUUAUAGGUCUACUAGACAACUCAAAGGAAGCCAAAUAAAGAAUCUCCAUUUUCUCUUGCCUUUAGAAUGGGGGUCAUCAUACCAAUCGAACUUGGUCUACCCACAGAACGUACAAUUUUAGCAGACACAAAUGCCCAUUUAGCCUUAAUCGAGUUUUCUUUGGACUUAGCUAACAAGACAUGAGACGGGGCAGCCAUAUGGAUGGUUGCUUACCACCAAUGGGUCAUGGCACAAUACAACAAAAGGGUUCAAAGUCAGAGAUUUCAUAUUAGGAAUCUCAUCUUCCGACGUGUUUUUGAAAAUAUGAAAGAGCCAGGAUAUGGCAAACUUUACCCUAACUGGGAAGGCCCCUAUCGGGUAACACACGUUGGGCCUAAUGACACUUACCAUUUGGAAGCAUUGGAUGGCAAGGCCCUUCCAAGGCCUUGGAAUGUACUUCACUUAAAGAAAUUUUAUCCAUGAAGGCAACUUUUUGAACAUAAAAUGAACUUUAGCUUUUAUUCAUGAAGGCAUGUUAAAAAAAAAAAAAAUCUGGCCAAACCAAAGUGCCUAAGAAGCCUAAGGUGCGCAAAGAGUAUUUGGGCAAGCCAAAGUGCCUAAGAAGCCUAAGGUACGCAAAAAGUAUUCAGGCAAGCCAAAGAGCCUAAAAAGCUAAGGUGCAUAAAAAGCAUUCGGGCAAGCCAGAGUGCCUAAAAAGCCCUUAAUGAAUGAAAACAUUCACCUAAAAGCAUCCGAACAAAAGCAUCCGACCUCACCAUUUAAUACCUAUAAAUAUCACCUAGGCUUGAGACCUCAAAAAAUUCAUAAAAUCUCAUGUACAAAAAUUAACGAAAAACAAAGCUUAAAUUUCAAUGUGAAUCAUAUGGUAGUAACAGUAUCUAAAACAAAAACCAAAAAAUAAUCCACCAAAACAUGUCAAAAAAAAUAAAAAAAUACCACUACAAAGUCACACAUCCCCAGGGGACCCAAAAGCCCCAACUUCGGUAGUCCUAACCGAAACCUCCUUAAUGACACCGUCAUCCCCGACAUCACCCUCGUUGUCAAUAUCCUAAUUGUUUUGAAUGUUGUGCUUCUUCAUGCAGCGUUCGUAGCCCAACUCGUAAGCACGAUCUACCUCAUCAAUAUAUCGAGGGACAAGUUCUUUCAAUUAUGUGGAAGCCUUCUCCAAAUCCUCACGAAGUGCCUCCACUUCCUUCUCUAGUCGAGAGCGCUCUUCAUUUGACAUAUCCAGUUUAGACUGAAGCUUCUAACUAUGCUCCUCAUCCGUCAAUUUCAACUUUAGUUCUUAGUCUCCCUGUUUGUAGCUUUUCGGUGAGGUCUCGGGCAUGACUUUCUAGUUUUGCAAUGGCAUAGUUCAGUUGAUCUAUGUUAGAAAUGCAGCCAUGAAGCUCAUUCUCACACCUCCUGAAAUCCCUGAUACCACGUUUCAUUUGUAAGAGAAAAGAGGGGAAAUGAGGGACACAACAAAUCAAAAUGGUGAUAGGAAUUAGUGGGUGCCAAAUAAAAGCAAAAGAAAACCUUACCAAUACACCCAAAUCCUAACUGGAAAACUAGGGUAUAACUAUAAGCACAUCCUGAAGAGAAAUAGCUCUUGACAUUAGAGUCGCCAUAAAUAGGCCUAAGAAAGAAUUCAGUUGAACCUGAGCAAUAGGGUCCCUAGCCACCAAGUUCAUAGUCGCCAAGUCAGUUUUCUAAACCUCUUCAAACCAAAGAAGUGAGUCUAAUAUCUCAAUUUCCGAGUGGGGCACAGAAGUGUCCCUAGGAGUAUCACUUUGGAAAACUACCAAACCUUUAUGAUGAGUGACCGUACUUCUCUUUCGAUGUUCGUCACCCCCGACAAGAAUAGAUUCCAGUCUCAUUCAUUGUUCAGGUGCGGGAUUAACCAGUUAAGAAGUCGUCGGUUUGCUUGAUGAUUGUGUCACUUGGAGGGAUCCAGAGGCCCGCUGAAACAACUCUUUAUAAGCAGCCUGCUGAGCCUGCAUUUGUCGAAGAGUACCAUCCUACCUUUUUUAAUAUCUCUUAGCUAGAAGCUUCUGCUUCUGACGCGCCUCCAACUCCUACAUGCGAGCUUCAUUAUAAUUCUCUAUGUUUGUGAUUACAAAGUGCUUGCCUUGCACUGGUGGACGAGGCACCAUUUUGGGUAGAAAAACCUAAACGAAUCGGUUCGGAUGCCUUUAGAUGUUAAGCCAGUUCAAAGUAGUUAGCAACACUUGAGAAUUCCUUUGAGUCAACUUAAUGUUUAGCAGCUAAUAGAUACAGUCAAAAGACACAUUUUCCACCCACUCGGCUAGGCGUCCUCGCUUUUCCUCCUCUACAAUAACCCGCCAUUAGAGAAGCCAAAGAAAAAAAAAAAAAAAACAUGAAGACAUGGUAGCAAUACUUGGGUAGAUAAUUGACCAAUUAAUCCGAAACUCCCUAUCCGGAUCACCAGGGGGCAUUUCCUAAGCCCCGAAAACAAGCACGUUCCCCUUCAACCAUCAUUUCCUAGAAUUUGGUAACUCUAUCACAAAUUGGAAAACGCGACAUUGCAUCGAUAAGGUGAAUAGGUCGGCAACACCUAAUUGGGUUGUAUACAUGAAUCACACUUUAAGCACUGAAAGCUCUAGGACGUAUAAUAUAUUCAACAUCGCGCAACCCAUAAGUACAUGCAUAUUGUUCGAGUACAUGUGUGCAGGGUGCAUCCCAGUAUGGUAUAGAAAUUGCCUCACUAGGGAGGGCAGUGACCGUUAAAGCCCCACCUAGAAUUGUUCCUAGGUAAAGAAGAUUUUACUAUAAGACAAGUUCAUGUUAGAUCUCAAGUUAUCAGGAUUUUCCGAGAAAACAACCCGCACAUCAUCUGGAAUAUCGUACUGAGCACAGAACUCUUCUAUCGAAGAGACCAUCUAGGAACGCAAUGACAUGACAACCUUACUCGCUUUGGUAUGCUUGCGGGCAACCGAGCCCAACAAGAUCGCUUGAAGCCGGUGAUUAACAAGGGGCUGCUUCUCACUCUCCUCACUCUCGAACUUUGAUGACAUCCCCGAAAGCUCUAGGACUACCUAGAAACACACACCACACUGUAAGACCAUCAUUGUGGAACACUAACCAAGGGGCAAGGCAACACCGACCCACUCCUGCGCACAUCCACCUCGACAAGAGAGCAAGUGCUCUACACGAACACAAAAAACCCCACUACCCAUGGAGCCCUGACCAACGCCUCCUCAAGAGCCACACACAAGAGAAGGAAAAAAUGCAACACACAAAAACCAACAAAAAAAAAGUGCAAGAAAAAGUGUUGGAACUUACUUGCAACGCAAUCACCGGUAGUAGUAGACCCUCCAUUUUGUCAUCUUAGCAGAUGUAACACUAGGUGCCUUCCUAUACUUCUUGAUUCAUGGUCAUCCCUUGGCCUUUCGAGCUAAGAUUAGGUCUCAUUUGGAUCUUUUUGAAGAUAGGUCCCACUUGAAUGUUUCUAUAGGCCUAAUUCACUUAAGUUAGUUUUUUAGUUUGAUUUCUGGGUUUUGAGUAUAAGUGAGCUUUGGCUUGAUUUUGGAUCUUCAACCAUAGGAAAUGAUUUUUUGAUAUUUGGAUAUACAAGAUGAAUUUUCAAUCUUCUGGUUCUCUCCCAUUUGGUUGAAAAUAUUUGUACUUGUUUUAUUUACUUUCUUUUUAUCUCAUUAUUAUUAUUAUUAUUAUUUUGGCAUGAGAUUUGUACUUUGAUUUCUUUUGCAUGUGCAUGAUUAAUGAUCGAUUUUAAACAUACAUGUGAUUGAUAUACUUUUUUUUUAUCGUAUAAUUUUGAUGUUUAGUGUUUUUUAGUUUGCCUUAUUCUUACUUUCAUCCUUAUUUUAUUUUUCAUGGGAUUUGACUAGUAUAUAUUAGAGAUUGAGGACUGGCAUUUUCUAGAAAACAUCCUUGGCAAGCACGUGGUCAUUCUUAGAAGGUUUUGUCAAAACAUGCAAGAAGUACAAUGCAAAUAAAAGUUUAGAAGAAGCGACAACUUUAACAAGUGAAGAUGUUGCUAUAAUUUGAUCCUCAACUGCCCAUGCAUUAGUAUCUAACCACACUAAGUGCAAUAAAGGUUUAAGUGUUUAAUCACGUAACAACCAUGCAACUCCCAUUAGUGUUGGGAUAUUGUCAUAUGAAUUUAAGACAGUCAAAGUGCAGCUUGGAUUCACUAUUUGAACUGCACCUCAACUAGGCCUUACCAAUAGUCUAAGUUUCUCAGGGUCCCACCUUUGAAUGCCAUGCAUGGCCAUUUGGGUGCAUGUAAUCCUCUCUAUGUGCAUGCAGUCAACAAGGCAUAACUGACGUUUUAUUGGUAAUUAGGAUACAAGUGAAGACCAUGUUAUGGACACCCAUGCAACAAGUAAGAGGAAUGGGCUAGGGCACGUGGGCAUCAAGAGGAGUGAUCUGCCAGAAUUUGAAAGAGUUGAGGUGGGAGUUUCGAAGGGUUUUUGCAUGGGAAAAGAGGGGGGUUUUGGAAAAACCAUAUGAGAGGCUAUUUUUUAGGAGAAAAUAUUCUAAUAUAAGGGGGAUUGAAAAAGAAAAAAUGAAAGGGAGGCGAUCUUGGGGAAUUUUUCAGAAAGGUUGAGAGGUUCUAAUUUUUGGAGAAAAAGAGAGAAAAAAAAAAAGGAAGGUGGAGAAAUCCUGAUAGAAAAUGUUAAAAAGAGAAAAAGAAACAGAGUGGGAGAAAAGCAGAGACAGAGAGAGAGAGAGAGAGCACAGGAAGGAAAAAAGGACUGGCAUGGGGAUGAGAUUUUCUGAUUUUCUGGGUAGAAAAAGAGGUUUCGGUAAAAUGGGUUUUGAGAAGUAAAACAAAGAAGGAGUAGAAUCAGAGGAGGAGUAGAAUCAGAGGAACACCUUGAGGUAUGACUAUUACAGAUUUCUUAUUUAUUUUUGUUAUUACCCUAUUCCUCAUUCAUUACAUGCUGUUCUUGGAUGUUUAUUUUUUCAAUUUGAGGUAUGAGUAGGAGAUGGUCAUAUGUUGUUUAUUAAUGUUUGAGACAUUUGCAAGUUGGUUGCCAUUUUUUCCAACUACCGUUUCUUUGUUUAUACUGGAUAAAUAAUACAGAUUUGGUCUAAUUUUGUUGUGUGAUGCUUAAAGAUCAUCUUUUUAUUAUUAUCAUUUUUUUUCUUAGAAUUUAUGGUCUCUCUCACCUGGCCUGUAAGCUCAUUGAUAUUCCAUGAGAUGAAUCUUCAUUUAAUGACUUAAUGAUUUGUGUUUAUAAUCUGUUUCUUUUGUUGCUAUAUUAGUGUUGUUUUCCUUUAGUUUUGGUGUCCAUCCCGUAGUGUGCAUCAGGUGGUUUACCACCAUGCAUUUCUUCUGGGUAGAAUGCCUUGGUUAUGAGUGUGUUCGGGUGAUUUUGGUGGAGAUACUUUCUGUUAAUGAAGAAAUGAAUUUUUGGAGAGUUGCAACCGUGUGUUCUCAUGGUUGAAUUGGACAGGGAAAUUAGAUGAUUCAACCGGGAUUUACUAGAGAUCAUGCGUGUAGUUUAUUUUAUUUUUUAUUUUUUAUGGCUGAAAAUGAUGGCACAUUGAGUAAAUAUUUAAUGGAAGAUGCAAUUGUUUUCAUGUGGAGAUCUAAUGGAGAAUACAACCACUUUCAUGUGAAGCCACUUGUUGUGUUAAUGGAGAAAAGAAAUACAAGUGAAAUUGGUCGUUAUGUGGUUGAAAUUCAUGUCGCUUUGGUGUUUGAGUGGAUAUCAUGCUAGUGGCUUCUAUGUUUAUUGAUUCUUUAAAAUAAAUAAAAAAUAAAAAAAUGAAAGUGUGAAUGUUGUGUGGAAGAAUAUGUAGAGAAUUUAAUGAAGAUUCAUAAGACAAUGACAUGGUGGAUGGAAUUAAAAAUAAAAUGAAUGGUGGAAUUUAUAUGCAGCAGCCAUGGAGAUCAUGCUAGUGGCUUUGAUGUUUAAUGCAUUUUAAAAAUGAAACAAUGGGGAUGUUGUGGCCGUGUAUGGAGUGCUCCUCUCAUGACUGAUUUAUAGAACAUUGUGGCUAUUAGUUUUGUGGCCAUGAAUGGAGUAUUUUUAUGAGAAUCCAUAAAAAAAUCAUGAAUGUGUAGUGGCUUUGGUUAUUAAUUUUUUUAUUGGUGAAUUCAUGAAGGAUUGAUGGAUGCGUAGUGACUUUGUAUGUUAAAUCUCCAUGGCUGAAUUUUUGUGGAGAAUCAUACAUAUAAUGGUCAUGUGUUAGUGCAUAAAUUCUGUGGAGAAACAAGUUGCAGACGUGCUGCACCAUUUUGCCACAUUGAUGUUGUGUUGAUGCUUGAUUUUUGGAGGAAUUUCAGCCACUUUAGUGCAUGUUUUUAUGACUGUGAGGAGAAAAGCAACAAGCACAUGAUCACACCAUCAGAUUUUAAGACCACCAAGCUGCCACUAUGAACACACACACAUCAGCCACACUCCCACUCUCAUCACACACAACUCAGCAUGCUUCACUCACAUUCGGUACACACUACUUUGUUUCCUUAGGAAUUUUUUCUUCUUCUUUUGGUUGUGUGAUUUUAUGUGAUUAUUUGUGUUUGUUAGUGAUUUCAAAAUGCCUAUCAAUCUACCUUUCUAAAAAUUAAUUCUCAAAAUUUCAAAUUCAGCUUGGACAUUGUUAUGUUAUGAAAAUUCAAUUUUCUAAAAAUUCAUGCAAAUAAUUUUAUUCGGUAUGCAUGUUUAAAAAAAGAAGUUUUAAAAUGAAUUUUGGUUUUGAAUAUACAUGAAUUAAAUUUCAUAACUCCAAUCAAUGGUGUCUUUAUGGAUAAAUUCAUGAAAAUUAAAAUGGGAUUUAAUAGAUCCCUACAUACAAAGUUUUUCUAAAGCAAUGUUUUUCAUUGAAAUUGUGGAUAGUUCACUGUACUUCUGUAUUUUUAAAUUGGAAUCUGAUAACUAAAAUGCCUUUUAAAAUUUUUCUAACUAUCCCAUGACAUUCUAGACUCUUGAACUUGAUUUUAGAAUCUUUCUUGGGUCAAAUAUGUUUCUUCAAUUAAGAGAUAUAAAUCAAUCUUUCAGAAGGUUCAGUUUUCACUCUAUUUUUGACACUCAAUUUUGUUUUUCAAAAUUAAAUUAAUAAGUGAACUAUUUAAUUUUUUUGGAAAUUUUUAUAUUAAUCUAUACUUCUUAAAGUUAGUUUUUGAUACAUAAAAAAUUAAUAAAUAAUUUUUUAAAUAAGAGAUAUAAUUUUUCUUCUUGUACCCACUGCACGAGUGCUUUUCUAGAGCUAAGAUAUUUUUAUUUAUUUUUAAAUAUGUUAUGAAUGUACUAUUGCCCUGUGAUAAUUUUUAAUAUAAAAUAGACACAUUUAGAUAUAUGUAUGAAUUUUUGUAUGAUUUUAGGACAUCUAUAAGUCAAUUGUAAAAAUAAAUUGUUUAAUUCCUUAAAAAGAUGCCUUAUUCUAGACCUAUUAUCAUCAUUAUGAAAUCUGGUACUAAAUGAAGGAUGGUUAAUUAAUUUGGUCACUUAGAUGAUAAAUUAGACAUACAGGAUAUGUUCUCUAAAAAUUUUCAUGAUAAACUUAACUUUUGGAUAUUUGUUUUAGAUUUAUUUUGUACAGUCUUCUGUUAUGAUCAUUUGCUGACUUUUUUUCCUUUUUUUUUUUUUUUUUUUUGUAGUAUUCCAUUUUUGAAUAAAUUUGUUAUUAAUAGGAAUUACGUAAUUUUUAUUUUGGUGAGAUAACCUUUCUUGAUAUUUAUUUGGAGUUUAUUUUGUGAACCAAUAUUCUACGCUUUUAAUGAUAUUUCAUUGGCUUUUGAUAAUUUAGUCACUUUUGAACAUACUUGUGAAUUUUCCUUGACUUGAGACAUGCUAAGUGUAUAUAUAUAUAUAUAUAUAUAUAUAUAUAUAUAUAUAUAUAUAUACAUAUAUAUACACAUAUAGGUCUAGUUAUUUUUUAUUUAUUAUUCUUUAAUCUUAUUAUUAUUAUUUGUGAAUUAACCUCAUUUUUAUAGAAGCACUGAUGCUUGCUGCACAGGUACACUCUCUAUUUUCCCAUUUCAAAGUUCCAUGAAUAUGUAUGUAAUUAAGAACUAUAUCCUCGUUUGAUAUUGACUUUGGGUGCCUUGAUGUUCAUUUGAUUUCUUUUGAUAAAAUGCAUGUUGAGUAAUAUAAUACCUGAACUAACUUUGGUGUUUUGUGAUAACAUUCAAGUUAUAGAUCUAGGUAUGCAUAUUAUCUUUUAUUUAUGAUAGUGGUUUGAAUCCUUGUUUGGCAUGCUAGAAUUAGUAUUGUAACAACUGGCUCCCAACCGUGUAGAUAUUGUCCAUUUUAGACUCAAAGGGGCCCUCAUGGUUUUAAAACCCGUCUACAGGGUUACGAGGAGUCCAUACUUAUAUGGCACUAGGAACUUUCCCUCUUAUCAGAUGUGGGAUGUCACAAACACCCCCCAUGUAGACACAACGUUCUCAUUGUGUCCCACAGGAUUGUGGGACCAAAUAGACAAACACCCUUAUGGGGCUAAACAAACCCUACACCGAGAUCGGGGAUCGACUCUGAUACCAUUUGUAACGACUCGCUCCUAACCGUGUAAAUAUUGUCCCUUUUGGACCCAAAAGGACCUUGAGUUUUUGAAAUCACCUUAAUCUAUCUAGGUAUUCAUAAUCAAUUGAUUAAUUAUCAUAUUUCCCUUAAUUAGGCUAUAGUAGAGACCUUGUUAGGGCUUAGGGGGGUGCUACUUCUUUAGAGGUACCUUCCUGAUAAGUAACCUGAUCCCCGGACCCAAACUAGGGUUUUUUGCAAGCAACUUUCAAAAAAAAUCAAGGGUCCUUUUGGGGGUUUUAUUCUUACUUGUUUUCCCAUUUAAAAAUAAAUAAAAGUAAUUGGUGACUCAAAAUUUUUAUAAAAAUUGGUUUUUCACUUUAAUCAAAAGCGAGUCUCGCCAAUCGAGUGGGAAUCCAUCAUGAAAAAUGUGAGUCAAUAGCAACAAUACCACAACGCAGCAAAAUCCAAGGCUCUUAGGCCGUGAUUGGCAAGGAUGACUACAAGCACAAAGUGAAAAUGAGCUUGGGUACCCCAAAAGUUUGCUCAUAAAAGAAAGAGGGGAGGCUUUGCCUAAGCAUUUAAUGCAGUGUGCCAAUCAAGUUGGGUGCUUGCCAUCAUGGUGCCACUUCCCAAGUGUUGCAUCCUUUAGGCGACGUAUGUUUGGCCUAUGAACCCCUACUCAUAGUCAGUGAAGAAGUUUUGCACCCAAAAGUCGCCCCGUUAACACAUUUCUGGUUUCCUUGAUCGCGAAAGGGGGACAUUGGAGAUACCGGGCUCAAAUGAGGGUCCGCUCAUUAGAGGAACCUAGCUUAAUUGGUGUCCAACCCAUGGAUUUUCCCACCCGUUUGAGUGGCCGAUACCCUUCCGUAGAACCGAAGCCUUCACCGAAAAGGUAACUAGAAUCACACGAACUGGGUUGGUCUCUUUGGACACGAUGGUUCUCGAAGUAGAAACGGUAAGCCACUAACUAAAGGAGAAUGACACCACCUCACCCGGGUCAAAUCUUCUCAAUAAAAUAGAGCUUACCUUGGAAGAAAGCCAUUAGGGCAGUGUGCUUAAAAAAUCCAAGCAUGGAUCCCCUAGGGGCCUUCCUAGUCGAUCUUGGAGAGUUGAACAAGUCUGGGAGCACAAUACCGACUUACACACUGACUCAUAUGGCAUAGACACCAUAGGUUGAGACAAGAUUAAUACAAGGAACGAGGGGCUAUGACAAGACUGGUGUGAGGACCAAAAGGGCGGUGACAAGACUGGUAUGAGGAACAAGAGGCUGUGACGAGAUUGAUAUGAGAAGCAAGUCCCAAAGCAAAGCUCUAACCGGUCUUAUUACCAACAAGUACCAGAGGGGUUAGCCAAGUGCUACUUGACACGGGUUUCAUCUACCCUGUGAUGUCCCACAUCAAAUAGGAGAGAAUGUUCCUGGCGCUAUAUAUGUAGAGGCUCCUCUUAACCAAGUAGACGUGUUUUAAAGCCGUGAGGGCUUCUUUGGGUCCAAAGCGGACAAUAUUUUCACGGUUGGGAGUGGGUCGUUACAUACCCAACCAUGGAUGCCACACAACCUUUGAUGUCCACCCUCAUGACACACCACUCCCUUAGGAGAAAGUUGACGUACUCAACCAGUCAGGUGAUGGCUUGGAAACCUUAUAAAAGGAAAAGAAGAAGAGAGGAAAAUGAGAGUUUUUUCUUGGUCUAAGACAAAGAAAGACUAAGGGACAUAUAAGAAGAGAAGGUGACACUUGAGGCAAUCUAGGGGCCCGAAUAGUCAUCAAAUCCUUGGAUUCGUAAAGGUUGUGCACCAAGACAAACCACAAACACCCCAUCCCACUAAAAAAUCAAAGAGAGAAAAGAAAAGAACAAAAAGAAAAGAAAAACAUAAAUGUCAACCAAGCAAUGAAUUUUUUUUUUUAGUUUGAUUUUGAAAGCAGAUAAAUGUCAGGUAUCCCAAUGAUGAGCUAUUUUUCUGAACCACUAGCACUAAGUAGGGCAUGUCGAUGAAUAGCCAAUGCAAAAAGUGAGCCCUUGUGAGCAUCUAUUGAGAGCUAGGCACAAUUGUCAUUUCUCACAUCAAGGAACUAAAUGUCACCAACUUGAGAUACACUCACAAUCUGGAGAAAGACAGUUAAACAACCAAGCAAGACAAGGUAAGACUCGUGGGAUUAUCCAAUAACCAUUUGAUUCAAGAUGAAACUAUUUUUCAUAAUCUCACACCCAAAUGUUCGCUAUAAGAAUGAUUUUUCAAGGGAAAUGAAGACUAUCAAAUAACUGCAUUUGAUAGACUGCAAAAAACCCAAAUUUUCACCCAGAAAAAAGGCAUGUAACCAUCAUGGUGCUCCAUUUACAUGAUGAAAUUUUAAACGACAUAGGAUCACAUGUAGACAUUAAAGCAUGCAUUAAAUGACAAUAAAUGAAAUGUUUACCUUUAUUAAUGCCAUGGAAAGCCAUUUUUGUGCUCCACUGGUGUCCAAGAAUAUGCUUAGUCCGUGGUGGUAUGAAAAUUCAGGUUCAAUGAGUUAUUCCCUUUUUACACCCAAGAUUCAGUCCGUGAGUGCUCUCAAGACGAAUGUGCAGUGCAUGCCCUUUUUUCAUCCCAAGAAGAAGAAGCCUUACUUUGUACUUAUAUAUACUCAUAUACAUCACACAUUACACACAUUAUUUGGACCACUUGACUUAAUGGGCCAGUAAAGUGAAUUAGGGUGAGCCCAUAAAAAAUCAAGCAACAAUAUGUGUCCAACCCCAUUAUAGACCAGAAUGCAAAAAUAAAAUAACAUUGAUUUAUGACGCUAUCACAUUGAUUAUGUAAGUCCACACAUAAAAAAUUCCAAAAAUUCUCCUACUUGGACUACAUAAUCAAACAUCACAAUAUAUACAUAAUCAUAAAUCAAUGUCCCAUAGAAUCUCAUCAAAACAAAUAAUCAAAAGCAAUCAUACAUGCUUCAUUGCUUGAUUCACAGGGAAAUAUACAAUAAUAGCAAUCCUUCCAACAAUAACAUAAUAUUAAAAUACCAAAAAUGGCUUCUACUAACUUAAUAUAACCUAGGCUCCCAACAACCCCAUUUGAGAUACAUGUUCAUGAAACACAACUAUGGGUAAGCCUUUUGUUAGUGGAUCAGCCAACAUACCUUUUGUUAACAUAUGUUUAAUAUCAAUAAGAGACUCUGCCACUUUCUCCUUAACAAAAUAGAAUUUUACAUCAAUAUGCUUGGAGCGAGAAGUACUCCUAGUGUUCUUAGAGAAAGCAACAACUGCGGAAUUAUAACAAAAUAAUUUCAAUGGUCUAGAAAUGGAGUCAACAACUCCCAAAGCUAAAAUAAAAUUCUGCAUCCAUAUAGCAUGACAAAAAGCCUCAUAACAUGUCACAUACUAUGCCUCCAUAGUUGAGGAUGUUGUAAGUGUUUGCUUGACACUUUUCCAAGAUACAACUCCUCCUGCCAUCACAAAAAUAUAGCUUGUAGUGGAUUUCUUAUCAUCUAUGCAACCAGUAAAAUCAACAUCACAAAACCCAACUACAUUAAGUAUGUUGGUGUGCUGAUAUGUCAAUAUUAAGUCCUUAGUUCCUUGCAAAUACCUAAGGACCUUCUUAGCAGCUUUCCAAUGUUGAUUUCCAAGAUUGCUCAAGUACCUUCCCAACAUGAAAACAACAAAAGCAAUAUUAGGGUGUGUACAUACUUGAGCAUACAUAAGGUUGCCAACCAAAGAUGAAUAAAGACUGGUUUUCAUUUCCUCUCUCUCAUCAUUGAUUCGUUCCCACUUAGUGUCUCAGCUGAUUCAUGUCCUCUCAAUGAUCCCUGACAGUGGUGCCAUUUGAUUCGUGUCCAGUUGGUGUCCCUUAAUUUUGGUCCUCAGGGAGUAAUCAACAAAAUUUAUAACCUAUUACACCAUGAACUAGGGUAGCAAAGACAAAGCUACUAUAGCAUAGUGGUUCUAGGAUCGUUCACUGGGAUGGGUUUUCACUUCACAAUUGAUAUUAAUUCAAAGCUGAAUUGGUGCCUUUUCAUUUCAAGUUUAGCUUUAAAAGAAAACAUAAAGAUGUUUGAAUGAAAAAUGUUUGGUUUUAAACUAACCAAAAAUAGUAACUGAUUUUACUUACAAAGAAAAGUGUUUCUUGGAGUUUAGAUCACUAGGCUUGGGUUCCUUGUACAAAAAGGGAGUUCCGGUCACUUGUUUCUUUUCCUCGCAUUAGAGAAUUAACAUAUAGUUAAUUCUCUAACCGGUGUGGUACAAAUGCUUCCCAUUAAUGGGUUCAAACACUAAAUCCCUCUCACUAAUGCAUCUUGCAAUGGCUCAUACCUCUCACCUAGCAUUUGCCAUUCAAGGUGAUCCUUAACCUUGGAUUACCCGUCAAAAGUUCGCAAGAGAUAACUAAUGGAUGUCUCCAUGGAGUCCAAAAGCUUACCAAGUGUUGGCUAUUCUAGAAAAUCCUACCUUCAAACCACCUCCCAAAGGCUCGCAAGAGAUAAACUAGUGCAUCUCAAUGGAUGGAGAUCACUUGCCUUACCAAGUGUUGGCCCAGGUGAUUUAAAGACGUUUUAAGUUGACUAAAAAGAUAAAAACCAUUAACGGGUCACACUUUCUCUUCAUUAAAAACUAAAACAACAAAACUUCCAAUUUAUGCAUGAGGAAACUUACCCGACUUUCUUCACUCCAAGAGACGAAGAGCCUAGCCUCUCAUCCUCUGAGGAAAAAUCCUCAGAGUUUGAUUGGCUAGAAAGAAAACUAACGAGAAAAAAAAAUAUAUAGGAAAAACAGAGCAAGUGCUCUGUAUUUUACUUCUUUGCAAAACUGUACAAAGGAUUGAUAUAUUGUGUAAAGGAAAUUACAAACUAUAUGUAAGGGGUUAUUCACCCUUUGUUCUUACUUAAAGACUAAGGAAUCCUAUGAUAGGUGGGUUACAAGGAGACUUUGGGGAUUUAGACAUUAAAUAUCUAAAGAAAAAUAUCUCAAAAUGUCGGUCGCACAUAUCGGGAAGCUUCAGGAGAACACCGCAGCACUAUGCAAAAUGGUUGCGAAACUCUCCGGGUAGGCGCUAUCAGAGGAUCCGGAUAUGUCUGACUAGGGAAGUUGAAACGCCCUCCUCUCCCAUCUGGGGUCAGGCACCGGAUGUGAAAUAUUCGGAGAAGGUGCCAGAUGUGAAAUAUCCGGAGAAGGUGGAACGUCAUCCGGACAGAAUUUCGGAUGUGAGAUACCCAGAGAAAGUGGAACGUCGCAAGGGGGACCGUCUGCGUGUGCAAGGUGUAGGGACCCCUCCGCCUGACGACACGGAGCGCGCAUCGCUAUCCGGAGCAACUCCAUCCGGAUUCCCCAAGAGGACACAUGGCGCGCUCCCCUAUCCGGACUCUCUCAGGGAGAAGCACACUGCACUCGCGAUCAUCACAUCCCGGAUGAUAGCAUAUCCUAUCCGGAUGUUGUCCGGAUCAUUGACUAAAGUGCACAAGCCUUGCUACGUCAUUCUGACAGCCUGCCACAGCCCACGUUCCGCCGCCCUCCGAUGGUGUGUCCGGACGGAAUUCCGGAUGUGCUUAUGGCAAAGGACUUCAAAGCUUUGGUUCUUCAUGUUUCUGAGCUUUCCAUUGCCUUGCCAUGGAUUUUAAAGAACUCUCCUCAAUCUUGGAUUGCUUUGGUGAUCAAAAAGCUAUCAAAACACCAAAACUUAACACAAUUUUAUUAAAAUUGAUUGCAAGGGUCCUUAAUAUGUUAAUUGGGUUAAAAAGUAAUAACUACUACUCAAAAGUGUUUAAAAAAGUUAAUUACAAGCUAUGAAAUAACACUUUUUGAGUAGUAAUCAAUCAUCAUUUUGAGGACAUUGAGCCUUUGAAAAUUUAUCACCCUUCACAAUUGGCGCUCUAGUAAAACUACAGUUGUGCAUAUUGAACUUCUUCAAUAUCUUCUCAAUAUAGGUUCUUUGAGACAAUUUAAGCACCCCGUUAGUCCUAUCACGAAGAAUCUUUAUGCCCAAAACAUAAGAAGCCUCACCAAGAUCCUUCAUGUCAAAAUGGGUUGACAACAUGUGCUUUGUCUCAAUCAACAAGUCAGAAUCAUUUUAUGCGAGUAGUAUAUCAUCAACAUAUAAAACAAGAAAUAUGUAACUACUCCCAAUGACCCUCAAUUAUAUGCAUUUGUCAACUAUAUUAUCUUUAAAACCAUUUUGGGUGAUAAUCCUAUCAAACUUCAGAUACCACUACUGAAGCCUAUUUAAGACCAUAAAUUGACUUAUUGAGCUAGCAAACUAAAUCUUCCUUUCCAACUUCUGCAAAACCAGUAGGUUGCUUCAUAUACACGUCCUCAUCCAGAUCACCAUUCAAGAAAGUUGUCUUGACAUCCAUUUGAUGUAGCUCCAAAUCAAAAUGAGCUACAAUGGCCAUAAUCACUCUAUAAGAGUCUUUGGUCAACACAUGUGAGAAGGUUUCUUUAAAAUCAAUUCCUUCUCUUUGACUAUAACCUUUAACCACAAGUCUAGCUUUAUAUCUCUCUAUUUGCCAACUAGAAUCACGUUUGGUCUUAAAACCCACUUGCAUCCAACUGGUUUACAACCAUGUGGCAAUUCGACCAAAUUCCAAACACCAUUCAUAUGCAUAGAGUUCAUUUAAUCGUCCAUGGUUUCUUUCCAAGAAGUGAAUUGAGGACAAUGAAUUGCUUUUUGAUAAGUGACUGGAUCAGAAACAUCAUAACCAUCAUACUCAUGCUCUUGCAAAUAAAUCAUGUAAUCAUCUGAAAUAAUCGGCCUACGAACCCUCUAUGAUAUUCUCAAAGGAAUCCCAUCAACAACAGUACCAUCAAUAGGAAUGCCAGGUUCCACUUGAUCACCAUGCUCUCCUUGAUUAGUGGCCGAAUGUUGGACAAUAGGAACAUCCACAUCUAGAACAUGAGAUGUAGGAAAAGGAAUUAUAACAUGCUAUUUUCCAAAAGGUAUCUCACGAGGCAUAAAAUUGGGAUCAACAUUAACUUCAUCUUCAAAGUAUACAACCCUGUCUGACUGAAUGAUCCUGGUGGUAUGAGAUGGACAAUAAAAUCCGAAAACCCUUGAUCCAACGCAAUAACCAACGAAGAAACCACUAAUGGUUUUAGGAUCAAGUUUUUUUUACUAUGGGUUAUAUGGCCUAACCUUAGCCUUACCUCCCCAAACAUGAAAAUGGUGAAGGCUCAGUUUCUUCCCUGGCCAUAACUCAUAAGGUGUCUUAAGCAUAGACUUAUUAGGCACUUGAUUCAAAAUAUAUGUCGCAGUCCUUAAGGCUUCACCCCACAGAAAUUCUAGUAAGGAGGAAUUAGACAACAUGCACCCUACCAUAUCCAACAAUGUGCAAUUCCUCCUUUCUGCAACCCCAUUCUAUUGAGGAGUGUCUGGCAUUGUAUAUCUAGCAUCAAUGCCGCAUUCCAACAGAAACUUAGCGAAUGGUCCAGGAUUCUAUCCAAUCUCAUCGUAUCUCCCAUAAUACUCACCAUCUCUAUCAGACUUCACAACUUUAAUGGGUUUUCCCAAUUGCAACUCCACCUUAGCCUUAAAGGCCAUAAACACAUUUAGGGAGUCAGAUUUCUAUGGGAUUAGUUCAACAUAACCAUAUCUAGAAAAAUCAUCAAUAAAAGUGAUGAAAUAUUUAUAACCCCCUAAAGCAGUUGGUGUUAAAGGACCACAUAUAUCUGUGUGGAUUAAGUCUAAAGUACUUCCACACCUAUCAAUCUUCUCAUUUUUUGUCUUAGUUGUCAUCUUCCCCUUUAAGCAAACAACAUAAGUCUCGAAGUCUAAGAAAUCAAGAUUAGAAAGCACAUCAUCUCUAACCAAUCUCUCUAAUCUUUGCCUAGAAAUAUGACCUAGGAGUUUGUGCCACAACAUGGAAGAACUCAAAUUCAUUCUAGCACGCUUGCAACCAACAACAGAAUUAACAAAAGAUGAAUCACACAAAGGACCAUGACGUAAACUGAGACUAUAAAGAUUGCCAAACAAAACAACAUUGCCAAUUAGAACUGAGUUGCUAAAUAUAUCCACUUUUCCUCCUCUAAAGUGGAAAGUGUAACCUUGUCUAUCUAAAAUAGAUAUAUAAAUCAAAUUCCUCAUAAGUAAGGGUAUGUAAGCAACAUUGUGUAACAACAAAAACUUUCUAUGAUCAAUCUUAGCUUUAUCAUGCCAAAAAAUUCUGCUUUCACUUUGCUUCCAUCACCCAUAUACACACAUUCUUCAUGCUUUGACUGCCUCCUUUUGUUUGUCAUCUCCUGCAAAGAAUUAGUGACAUGAAUAGUGGCACCAGUAUCUAACCACCAAGAAUUGGCAUGAACAUCAACAAUA